GAGGUUUUUGGUUCCAAUGAUCGCUGGGACGAAACUAAUAAUAAAUUUUGUGGUUUCGGGCAUAGAGAGAAUAUGAGUUUCGGCCCCAAACUUCAUUGUAUUCAAAAAUAAAUAAUGCUAUUAACACCGAAUAUCAUCAUUCUUUUAGAAUUGUGUAACAAGUAAUGUGAAGGAGCAAUGAUAUUCAAAACAUGCUUGAGAUGGAAGCAUUCUUCCUGCAACUGAAGGGAGAGGAAGACGCGAUUUCAUAGACUGCUUCAUUUUUCAGAGGUUCUAACCAAAAGUUUAACCACUACAAGAAAACACAAAUUUAACGACGGCGGUUUUCCUCGCCAAUUCCUCGUAAAAUCGGGUUUACGAGGAAUUAGCGAGGAAACACGUUUCGUCGUUAAACGUUCGUCGUAACGCAUAUUUCCUAAUUUCGUCGUAAAGACGAAGAACAAUAUUUCGUCGUAAAGACCACGUAAAUAUUCCACGUAAGGACGUCGCUUCAUUUCCUCGUAAAUACCUCGAAAGGUGCCCCUCGUAAAUUACACGUAAAUAUCUCGAAAGUAUUUCCUCGUAAAGAACACGUAAAUAACUUGAAAGCAUUUCCUCGUAAAGUACUCAUUUAUUAUUCCUCGUCAUUUUCUCGUAAGGUUUUCCUCGUAAAAUACUCAUUAAGUUUCCACGUAAAGAAAUCGUAAAUUAGCUACGAAUUUGCUUCGUUUUAUUUGACAGAAUAUAAAAAUAUAAUUUAAAAAUAUUUAAUUUAAUAAUAAAAUUAAAAUUCUAAAAAAAAUUAAUACCAAAAUAUUUUAUAUAUAAAUAAGUUUUGAAUUUAUAAUACAAGAACCGAAAAAAAGAACUAAGAGUCGUUCAUCGCCCGGUAGAAUUCAUCACUCGUUCUCUCUACAUCCGCCUCGGCACAUGUGUGGGAUGAUGACUCGCCUGGAAUGGGAUUUUGUCGUCGCAAGUUCCUCAACAAGGACUCCCUUUCCGGAUUUGUGGCCGCUACAACGUCCAAGAAGCCCUCGAAUCCAUCCACACGAUCCAGUCACCCUUCCAGUUGGAGAUCGUGUCCAACAAGCGAACUUUCGCCUUCGCGUAAAACGCUUUCCUCACCCUCUUAGUGACCCCCAUGGACCAAUGAUAUUUUUGCUCUAAAUUUUUUUUUUUUAAUUUACAAUUAGUUUUUUUAAAAAAUAUAUAUAUAAAUCAUGAAAAAAUUAAAGUAUAUAGAAUUAAUGAAUAGUAACUUACAGCGUAAAUUUUGAACCACGUCUUUCUGACGUAGAUCGGGGUGUUUUUCCAGUUCGGAUGUGGCAUGGAGAAGUAACCUUUCAUCGUGUCGGUUACGUCCGAUGCAAGACAUCCGUCAACCCCAAACCUGGAAAAAAACAAAUUUAAAGUAUAAAUUAUUUAUUAAUGUUAUAAAAGAAUUUUUAAAAAAUUAUAAAGAAAAAUAAUUAAUGUAACAUACCACAAAGUGCCCUCCGGUCGGUCGGGGUUUAUGACUGGUAAACCUUCUCUGCCUGGCUGACUGAGAAUGUCCUCGACAGUGUACUGCGAGUAAGGAGCACUCGGAGGCACCAUCAAAUCGGGAUGAAUCUUGGCGGGCGUCGGAGGAGCCGACAGAGGAGGCACAUGAGGAGGCAUCGUCGGAGGAACCGAUGGUGCACUAGAAGAAGGCGACCAAGAGACUCUCUGAGAAGGCUGAGUCUCGGGGACAGUCUCCUAACUGGAAGAACCGGGAGCUGAAGAAGACGACGGGUCUAAACGACUAUCAGGCUCACCGAACAUCUGUCUGUAAUGGGGAGUAAGUCUGUUCUUUCGAAUCGUCUGGAAAAAAAUAUAUUUAAAAUUAACAUCCACAAUAAUUAACCAAUUCUAUAAAUGUAGCUAAAUUCUCUAUAUUAACCACCUAAUCAACACUAAUCAGUAAACCUAUCUAAAUUCCCUACANNNNNNNNNNNNNNNNNNNNNNNNNNNNNNNNNNNNNNNNUCCCUACACUAACCACCUAAUCUACUCUAAACGAAACAAAUUAGAGAGGAAAUAUAGAGAGAAAGUACCAUAGCUACGAAAGGGAGAGGAAGUGGAGAGGAAACGAGAGGCGAAGCUCGCGUGUAUAUAUAAGAAAUUAGUAGUCGUCGUAAAUUCCUCGUAAACUUACGUGGAAUUAGCGAGGCCCGUGUUUCGUUUCCUCGUAACUUCCUCGUAAACUACAUGGAACUAGCGAGGCUUGCUUUUCGUUUCCUCGUAAUUUCGUCGUUGGUUAACGAGGAAUUAGCGAGGCCCGUGUUUUUCUUUUACGAGGUCUUUACGACGAAUUGGGGAAAUUAGAUAAUUAUUUUAAGUUUCGUCGUAAAAUCUUUCGAAAUUUCCUAAAAAUACACACCAGUUUGCUUCUCAAAUCAAAGAUAAACUCACUAAUUUUCUUUUCAAAUCAGAGAUAAUUCACCAGUUUGCUUCUCAAAUUAGAAAGAUUUGAAAAAAAAGAUGGAGAGAAAGAUACAGGAACACAUGUGGGCGGAGACAAGGUUAGACUUACGUAUGUCUCGCUUUGUUUCUUCCCUUCUAUGAUUCCAGUAUCUUUUUUCUCUUCUUUUUUAUUGGUCGCUCAGUUACGAGGAAAUAGAAAGGCUGCUGUUAUUUUUCACGAGAAAAUAGCGAGGCCCGCCUUUACCUAAGACAAGGAAAUAUCGAGUCCCAUCUUUUCCUUAGACGAGGAAAUAGCGAGGCCCGCGUUUUCCUAAGAAGAGGAAAUAGCGAGGUCCGCGUUUUCCUAAGACGAGGUCGUUACGACGAUUGGCGCUUAUGUGGAAAUAGCGAGGCCCGCGUUCUUUUUGUCGUUAUUUCCUCGUAAGUUAACGAGGAACUAGCGACGAUUAUGUUUAAAUCCCUAAAAUCCAAAACCCCAUAUCCCAUCUUCCUUAUUUUCUACUUCAUAUAUUCCAAAACUCAAACCCAUCUUCCCUUUAACCUCAAUCUAUAUUCUUUCCAUUCCAAACCCCAAAUUAUAAAACCACAAUUCUUUAACUUAUAAUCUCAAUGUUUUAUUUCUAAUACAAACUCUCGUACCUUACACAAAGUCAAAUUAUUUCCAUUCCAAACCCCAAAGUCUAAUACAAACUCCCAUAUCUCACAUGCAUUAAGUCUGAAAAUAAAUCUUAUUAAAAACAAAUACACCAAUCGGAUACAUCGACAUUCUCGUCAUCACUAGAAACAUCAUCAUUUUCAUUAAACUCGUCUUCAACAGCUUCGUCCGUGGCAUCGUCGGUAAGAUCUUCGUACUCAUGAUUAUGCGGAUCAAUGAGAAGGAUGUCAUCAAUUUCUUGUUCAGGUUCCUCGACUUCAUUUAUCUGUUCUUCUUGCAGUGGUGGUUCUUCUCCACUGAUGAUUCGUCCUCGUGGUGUAACUUUGAUCACGGUCAACCAAUUUAUUCCCGAUUCUCUCAUCCGAGGGUAUGGAAGGAAGCUAACUUGGUCUGCUUGUGAAGCUAAGAUGAAAGACUCGAAUUUGUUGUACCUGCAAAUUAAAAUAAAGAAAACGUUGAAAUUAAUUUAACAACCUCAUGUAUGGCAAAAAAAGAAUUUGUUGUACCUUUGUCCACCAUUGACAUCAACUACACCGAAUUUGUUAAACCGAACACCUCUGUUGACGACGGGGUCAAACCAUUCACAUUUGAAGAGGACGCAUUUCAGCUUCAAUAUCCCUGGGAAUUCGACUUCAAUAAUCUCCGUCAAGAUCCCGUAGAAAUCUGUAUCCCUUUUCACACAUAUUCCAUAGUUACUGGUCGCCCGCUGUCUACCAUACUCAUAUGUGUGAAAAGUAUAGCUUCGUGUGAAAUACAUCUGUGAUGUGGUGACCUUUACAAGUGGAGAUUGAAUUACUUCGUGUGACCACUUAGGAUAAUCGGUAUCGUCGUCAUAAUCAACCUGCAAAAAUAAAGAGAACGUUGAAAUACAUAUAAUGUAUGAAAAAAUUAAGAGUUUGAGUUAAUAUCUGAUUCUUCAACCACUUAAUAAAGUAUUGAUCUUUCCUUUUGUCUACGUCACUUGUGGAUAUACCUGAGAAUGUUUCUUCGACUUGAGAAACAAAUAGGCUGUAAAAUCACAUUUUAUAUUAAUUAAUCUUUGGCAAUUAUAUAAUUUAUACUUAUAUGUGUUUAGAAGUGUCCAUAUAUGUUACCUUUCAAAAUAACGCAUCAAUGGAUCCUCGCAAUUGAGUAGAAUAUAUGUGUGUGCACUAUGAGCGUCUUAUUCACUCGACCACCAAACCUCUUUUAAUUUCCCACCGAGUCGUCCAAUCUGGCUAAAGAUGUUUGGAACACCAGCAACUAGAGCUGCUAAAUGGGUGAGCCUUCCAUUGGUUGCCCAUGUCCAUAAUUAAUUGGGCUUUAAUUGGUCACAACCACAUUUCCAUAUGGGUUUUAAAUGGUCAAAAAUCAGAAACCAAUGGGCCUAUGGGAGAUAAUGGGUUUGGUUACUGUGGACGUGGGCUGUCCAAUAAGCUAAAAUUUCUAGGGUUUUGAUUUGGAAAAAAAAAAUCAUUUCAACUUUCGGAGAACGAAAGUAUCGAUCUCUCUCUCCUUCAGCGAUUCGAGUGGCGGCCGAUUCAUCGAUCUCCGUUCUCCGUUCUAUCUCCGUUCUCCGUCCUAUCUCACCGAUCUCUCCGUUCUCCGUUCUAUCUCAUCGAUCUCUCCGUUCUCCGUCGUAUCUCCGUCUGUGACUCUCUUUCUCCGUCCGUUCGAGCUUGUCUCUUCAUCUGUAAGUCUGUGACUCCUUCAUCUAUGACUACUUGUUUGAGAUUUGAAAUGGGUUUUACUUGUUUGAGAUUUGAAAUGUGUUUUUACUUGUUUUGAGAUUUGAAAUGGGUAUCUCUUUGUUGACUGAUCAGUGGUUCCUCUGUUUCAUUGCUGGGUUUUGUUGAAUUUGUUUGCGUAAUUAGAUGGGGAUAAUCACAAGUGAUGUGUGUUUGCAGAUUCACUGGUAACGUAACGUUAACCUUAAAGGGAAGAAGCUCACAAGAAUAACAAGAGAAAAACUCCAGGUACUGUUUAUGACAUCUGUAUUAGUUCGUUUGUUUAAUGGUUUGUUUGCUUGAGAUGGGUAACUGAGAUGGGUAUGUUUCUGUUUGAGUAGUUUCUUUACUCUUUGAUGAUUUGAAAUGAGUUUUUACUUGUUUUGAGAUUUGAAAUGGGUAUCUCUUUGUUGACUGAUCAGUGGUUCAGUAGCUUCGGCUUUAGUUAUGACAUCUUUAUUAGUUCGUUUGUUUAAUGGUUUGUUUGCUUGAGAUGGGUAACUGAGAUGGGUCUGUUUCUGUUUGAGUAGUUUCUUUACUCUUUGAUUAUUUGAAAUGAGUAUCUUUACUCUUUGUUUCUUUUUAGCAGAUAAUUGUCUAACUUGUUCUCUGUUACUUGAGCUGUUCUUUGCUUGUUUGCUUGACAUGUUUCUUUACCAUUUGAGUAGUUUCUUUACCAUUUGAGAAGAUCGCCUCUGUUUCUUUUUAGAAGAUAUUUUUUUAUCAUACUUAAGAACAUUUUGUUUUAUUAUCAGUGAUGUAGAUGCUUUAAAUGUUUGCUAAAUUAUAUGCUAAAUUAUAUGAUUUUGAAAACUUUGUUUUCUUAUGAUUUUUCUGAAAAGUUCAUGUAGAAGAUCGCCUCUGUUUCUUUUUAGAAGAUAAUUGUCCAACUUGUUCUCUGUUUUACCGCUUCAGGAUGACACAGACUACAUGAGUGGGGAUGAGCUGAUGGAUCAAAACUCAGAUGGAGAUGGAGAUGGAGAUGGAGAUGAAGUAGUAGCAGUGGAAGAUACUCUCAUGAGCACAGCUGAAAACCACAUCAAAAGGAAAAGAGGAGGUAAACGCAGACACUCUAGAUGUUGGAACCAUUUUGAUAUAGUAGGAGAGAAGUAUCCAGAUGGUUCGAAUGAUGUUCAGUGUAAAUUUUGCAAACACUCGUACUGCUUUAACCUGCGUAGAAGUGGAACCUCGAGUCUUUUGCGUCAUAUGAGAAAUUGUUCUUUGAAUCCUGUCCCUAGUACACCUGGAACCGGUAGGAAGAUAGAUCAGCUUGUGUUUCUUGAGAUGAUUGCAGUAGCUUUGAUUGAGCACAACUUGCCUUAUUCCUUUGUUGAGUAUAGAAGAAUCAGGGAAGCAUGGCAUUAUUUGAAUCCGACUGUCGAGUUCUGGAGCAGAAGUACAACAGCUAGCGACUGCUUGAAGAUCUAUGAGAGGGAGAAGUUGAAACUGAGACAGAAGCUAAAAGAGAUUCCGGGAAGGAUUUGCUUGACGACAGACUUGUGGAGAGCUUUGACGGUUGAAGGGUAUCUGUGUUUGACGGCGCAUUACAUAGACAGUGAUUGGAGUCUGAAGUCGAGGAUUAUUGAAUUCUGCGCGUUUCCUCCUCCUCAUACGGGUGGUGCCAUAUCGAUGAAGAUAAUGGAGUUGCUGAGAGAAUGGGAGCUGGAGAAGAAAAUCUUCACCAUUACCGUGGACAAUGCGUCAUCAAAUGAUAACAUGCAGUCCAUUCUCAAGAAGCAGCUACGAAGGGAACUGGUCUGCAGUGGAGAGUUCUUCCACGUGAGGUGUGUCGCUCACAUCUUGAACUUGAUAGUUCAAGAUGGACUGAGUGUUAUUGGUGGAGCGUUGGAUAAAAUAAGAGAGAGUGUCAAGUUUGUGAAACUGACUGAAACUAGAGAGAGACUGUUUCAGAGUUGUGUGGAAGCAAUGGCAGCUAAACCUAAAGAUAAAGGUGUGUUGCCAGGGCUGGUUAUGGAUGUCUCAACAAGAUGGAACUCCACGCAUCUUAUGCUAGAGAGAGUCAUCAUGUAUAGAGAAGCCUUCCGCCACCUUGCUGAAGUGGAAGAAGCAUAUCAGUUCUGUCCAAGCGAAUUGGAAUGGGAGAGGGCAGAGCUUCUCUCCGACUUCUUGUCUCCAUUUGCUGAGAUGACCAAGCUUGUUUCUGGUUCUUCAUAUCCGACAUCUAACCUCUAUUUUAUGCAUGUGUGGAGAAUUGAGAACUGGCUGAAAGAAAACGAGUUCAGUGGAGAUGAAGUAAUCUGUGAGAUGGUGGCUUCAAUGAAGCCCAAGUUCAAUAAGUAUUGGGAGGAGUAUUCUGACAUCUUAGCCAUUGCUGCCGUGCUUGAUCCGAGACUGAAGUUUGCAUUCUUGGAAUACUGCUUCACAACGUUAGAUGCAGCCACAAGUAAGAUGAAAAUGGAUCAUGAUAAGAAGAAGAUAAGGAAGCUGUUUGGUGUUUAUAAGAAGAACACAAAGAAAAACAUGGCUUCAAGAUCAAAGCCUGCGCAAACCACUUUACCAGGAUAUGAUGUAAGCUUACUUACUUUGCUUUGUUUCAUUGCAUUGCUAACUUAGUCUCUAGAAGAAAACCAGACUAUGAUAGACGUUACUUCCUUUCGGUUGCAGGGGUUUUAUGCUUUCAUCUCACAGAAUGCUGGACCUGGUGGUAGUGGGAAAUCAACCUUGGAUAAGUACCUAGAAGAACCGGUUUUAGACAUGAUGGCCUUUCAGAGUUUGAAUGUUCUCUCCUAUUGGGGAGAGAAUGCUAAUCGAUUUAAGGAGCUUGCAUCAAUGGCAUGUGACGUCUUGAGCAUACCCAUCACCACGGUGGCUUCAGAAUCAUCCUUCAGCAUUGGCAGCCGUGUAUUGAACAAAUACAGAAGCUGCCUCCUUCCUUCGAAUGUGCGAGCACUGAUCUGCGCAAGGAAUUGGUUAAGGGGAUUUGAGGCUUUAGAUUGUAAGUUAUUUUCAUCUCUGUCUUUGAAUUUGGUUGUCUUUGAAACUGAUAAACGAAUUUGGUUAGAUGAUGAUGAGGAUUUUGAACCCUCCGAGGAAGUUGGAGAAGCAGAUCCAACAUGCCAUGUCUGAAGUAGAGUCUAUCUGUCUGAAGAGUAUGUGUGAGAACGUAUAUGUGUUUUUCGUUUGGAGAUAGCUCUUGGAUGCAUACCUUUGAUGUUAUUGUAUGAACAUGUGUUUUCUGUGGUUACUUGUUUUGUAGGGUUUAUGGAAGAAGAUGGAGGAGAAGAUAAGGAAGUAGCUUGACUUAUCACUUAUGUGUACUGAAGUUAUGUUAUGGACUUAUGAACUUAUAUAUGCACUUAUUACAUUUAUGGAGUUAUGUUAUGGAGUUAUGACCUCAUGAAUUUGUAUUUAUAUGGAGUUAUGGAGUUAUUAUUAAUAUGAACUUGUAUUUAUAUGUUUAUAGAUUAGAAUUCAAAAUUUUCUUUAAAUGGUCCUUAAUGGACUCAUGACAGCCCAUAUAAAUAUGGGUGUUAGUGGGUUUGGUCCUUAAUGGACAUGGUCCUUAAUGGACAUGGCCAUUCUCUGAUCAUAAACUAUAAAUGGACAAACGAAUAUGGGCUAAUGGACAUGGGCUCGCCCAUUUAGCAGCUCUACCAGCAACUGCAUAUGUUAGGCGCGACACUACCAUCAUCAUAUCUUCUUGGAGCUCUUUUCCGGGUACGUACUUUUGACGCAAAGUAGUACGAUGUGAAGUGAGAAGUUUCUUCCGUCAAACUUCCAGCAAUUACAGAACCUUCAACUUUUGCGAGGUUUUUUGCUUUUCCCUUCAAAUAUUUCAUGGCUCGCUUAUACUGAUACAUCCAUCCGUAAUGUACAGGUCCACGAAGCAAUGCCUCAUAUGGGAGGUGGACAGCUAGAUGCUCCAUGACGUCAAAAAUUCCCGGAGAAAAUAUAUUCACCAAGUUGCACAAUAAGAUGGGAAUGUUCUGCUGAAGCUGUUCCAUGACUUCUUCUUUAAGAGUGUGUGUGCUCAGAUCCCUGAAAAAUGCUCCAAUGCCUUGUAUAUCCCAAAAACAAUUAAACACAUUAUAUUAGUCAUAUAUUAUUGCAAACUAAACCAUUAUAAAAUUACUACGUUAUAAUAUACUAUCUGCAAGUGCUUCAUGUACGUUUGUUGGAAGUAGCUCCGCAAAUGCAAAGGGAAGUAGCCAUUGCAUAAAGACAUGACAAUCAUGACUCUUCAUCCUGGAGAACUUUUGACCCUUUUCAACACAUCUAGAGAGAUUUGAAACAUACCCAUCGGGAAACUUCACUUCUGAUGCCACCCAGUUGAACAACACCGACUUUUUUUCUAAAGACAAUCUAAAUAUCGGAACGGGAACUUGUGUUGAGGUCAAAAACAGUUAUUUCAAAAUCAACGGCUAUGAUUAUUUCUUAUUCACGGAUUUCUCGCAAAACAUUCACUGAAAGAAAGAUCGGAAGUGAACGAACGAGCGAAUCUCGUACAAAAGCCACUCGCCGGAGAGCUGAACCAUCACGCGGGUCAGCUCACCGGCGAGCUCAACCAUCACGUCUUUCAGCUCGACGGCGAUCUGAACCAACGUGUGGUUAUACUCGCCCGGCGAGCUCAACCAUCACGCCGGUCAGCUCGCCGGUCAGCUCGCCGGCGAGCUCAACCGUCGUGUGGUUGCACUCGCCGGCGAGCUCAACCGUCGUGUGGUUGCACUCGCUCGGCGAGCUCAACCAUCGCGCCGGUCAGCUCGCCGGCGAGCUGAACCGUCGUGUGGUUGUGCUCGCCGGCGAGUUCGGCAGUCACACGAGUAGGCUCGCCCAGCGAGCUCGACCUGAUCCCGGCCUGUCCGACUUACUUCGACUCUCGCAUCCUUCGUAUAGCUGUGAUAUCCGACCUUCGGGACCAUAUACAUCUCGUUUCGUUUUGAUUAAAGUUAUUCUCGAAGUUUUAUGACUAAAACCGAGAAAUCGUAUAAACGCCAAAAGGCCUAAGAACGGUCCACAAGGAUCUAAACUGGCCUAGAGGCCCAUCUAUGCUCCCAGAAGGGAUUCGAGCCCAUAAAAGUUAUGACAGUUUGUCCUAACUCGCAGAAAUACGAUAAAUGCUAUGUUUCCAAAGAUAAAUGUAAAGAUUCGAGGAUAACUAUCAAGAUCGACGAAAAAUGGAAUAUUCCCAAAAGAGAUAGACUUGGACCUGAAGGCGAAGGAUGGGCCACCGACCUAGAGCGACUAUAUAAGGAGAGAAGGAGCAGAAGAAAAGGGGAUCCGAGAAUUUAGAAUUAGAGAACUCCUGCUAGCUUAGAGAACUUAGGGCUUAGGUGGUUAGACUAGCUUGGCAAGGCUUAGGAUGUCUUGGCCGCUUCUUGUCCUGUUGUUCCGAUAGUUAGCAUAUCUCUACUCCUCUCGGAGAAAUCUUGUAUUCAUACUAUUCAAUAAAACGCCUCUGAGCGAUUAUCUAUCUUUUUAUCGUUCUAAAGUGAUUACGCAGAGAAUUCGGACCUUCAAGGAAAAACGGGUUCAUUCGGCUUUCCUCCAUUAUUAUUUAUUAUAAUCGACGGUGUGAAUUUUGGUUCCCACAACUUGUCCAUUGCUUUUUAUAUGUAACUCACUUCUUGAGCAAAUAUCCAGCAAGUCCAACCUCGAUUUUAUGUUGUCUUUUGUCUUCCCUGGGACAUUCAAUAUUGUAUUCAUGAUGUUCUCAAGGAAAUUCUUCUCUAUAUGCAUCACAUUGAGGUUGUGGCGUAGAAGAAGAUCCUUCCAAUAUGGCAACUCCCAAAAUAUACUCUUCUUGUGCCAAUUGUGAUGAACACCGUAAGAAUCAGGCAUAUUACGAGGGACAUGCCAAUUACCACCACAAGGAACUGUUUCGUUAGCUCCGUAGUAGUUGAUUUGCGCUUCAAUUUUCUCCAGUUAGAUAUGGAGGAGCAGUGUCUCUGACAACCCUUUUGUGCCUAAACAAAUUCUUGUUUUUUCGGUAUGGAUGGCCAAUGGGCAGAAAUCGACGGUGAUAAUCGAACCAACUUGUCUUCCUACCAUUCUUCAGUUGAAACGCAUCUGUCAUUUCAUUACAAUAUGGACAAGCUAAUCUCCCAUGUGUAGUCCAUCCAGACAACAUCCCAUAGGCAGGAAAGUCACUUAUGGUUCACAAAAGCAUCGCUCGCAUCGUAAAAUUCGUCUUCGUUGAGCAGUCAUACGUCCUCACCCCUGUUGCCCACAAAUCCUUCAACUCUUUUAUCAGUGGUUGUAGGAAAACAUCCAGAGAUCUUUUUGGAUGGUUAGGACCAGGUAUUAAUAUGGUCAAGAAUAGCAACUCCCGUUGCAUGCACAUCUCCCGUGGCAGGUUGUAUGGCGUAAGAAAGACUGGCCACAAUGAAUACUGUCUCCCUGACAUUCAAAAUGGACUAAAUCCAUCUGUGCAUAAUCCGAGAUACACAUUCCGGCUAUUGCUAGCGAAAUCCGGAUGUACUUUGUUAAAAUGUUUCCAGGCUCUUGCAUCUGAUGGAUGAGUCAUCUCACCAUCCAUUUGAGUAUGCUUGGCAUGCCAUCUCAUCUUUCCAGCAGUCUGCUCUGAUUGGUACAAUCUUUUCAACCUGUCUGUAAUUGGUAAGUACCACAUCCUUUGGUACGGUAUCCUAUUACGUCCCCGUCCUUGCGGCUUGAAUCGUGGCUUCUUGCAGAAUCGAUAUUCUUCUAACUUCUCAUCAUCUCCCCAGUAGAUCAUGCAGUUGUCGAUGCAAACAUCUAUCAUCUCCGAAGGCAACCCAAGACUAUAAAUCAGUUUCUGAAUCUCAUAAUAAGAAUCAGCAGACACAUUGUCUUCCGGCAAAUAUUCUUUAAACAAGUCUGCCCAUUCAUUCAUGCAAUUUUCAGGUAGAUUGUGAUCAGUUUUAAUAUUCAUCAUUCUAGCAGCCAACGACAAUUUAGAGAGACCUUCUCUACAACCACUGUAAAGUGGCUGGUUCGCCGCAUUUAACAUUUCAUAAAACUUUUUUGCAUCUAUAUUAGGUUCUUCAUCUUCAUCAUGAGCUACGAAUGCAUCAGCUACCAUAUCAUGAACCCUAUCAUAAUCUACCAUCUGCUCUUCCUGAUGGUAACUGUGUUCAUUAUGCAAAUGAUCAACCGGUUCUUCCUGAAAAAUGCUAUUACUACUACUAGCUUCAUUCUGAUCAUAAUUAUAACCUUCUCCAUGUUGAAACCAGAUAUAGUAAUUUGGCGUGAAACCUCUAUUUAUUAAUGCUUCCAAACAUUUUCGAAUUGUUGCAUUUCCGACAAGUACAAAACAUCUUACCACUUUCUUGGGCGAGCGGUAUGGAAUCUGCUUGAUGCAUAAAUGUCUCCAGCCCCGCAAGGUAUUCUUUCUUCACUCUCCCGUUAGCAUCUCUAUGGAUAUACAUCCACCUCCGCAACUCAAAAAUAUUCACGGACCCCGACAUUUUUUUCACGUUUUUUUUUUUGUUGGUGUGUUUAAAAUGAUGUUCAAAUGUCCAUUUUUAUAGGAAAUUUUUGAAUCUGAUAGUUGUAAUUUUCCUACGAAUUUACGAAGAAAUUUAGUUAGGAAAAACGUGUUAUUUAGUGGAUUCAAAAUUUCCUCGCUAAGUAGAUGUAAGAUAUUUCCUCGUAAAUUACACGCUAUAUUUACGUCGAGUUUACAAGGAAAGAGUAGUUCGUCGUUAAAGCCACGUGAUAUUACACCGGCUUUACGAUGAAAUCAUUUCGUUGUAACUUUACGAACAAAUAACGAUGAUUUUAUAUUUCCUCGUAAAGUCGACGUACAUUUACGAGGACUACUUUUCCUUGUUAAUUUUCCUCGCUAAAUUUGUAUUUUCUUGUAGUGAUCAUUGUUAAAGCGGAAUAGUAGAUUGACACAUAGAGAAUGCUUAUGAUCGAGCAAGCAAGGGCCAAUUCAGCCACAAUGUGAAUUGUGAAGAGGUUCUGAGCAGUUUUGGUUGUACUGGUUUGCUUAAAUUUGACAAGAGUUUGGUUUCCAAAGAAAAAGGACAUUCAUAAAGAACAAAGACCCUUUGAAACCAAAAAGCAAAGAGACAUUUAACUUCUUAUUACAUCAAACGAAAGAUGUUGUAGAGGUAUUGUUUCAACCCAUUAUUUUUCAUAAUACAACUUAUUAAACACCACUCGUUGAACUCUCGGUAACUUAGAAAGUAGGGAACAUCCUAAGACCCUUCGCGAACACAUUCUCUGUGGAUGUGUCAACCUCACGGAACUUAACAGGGAAAACAUUAUUAUCAUCAUUAUCACCUUCAAGAACAAGAAUGGGUGCUCCGAAAAACCCGGUGGUCGCACCAAUACCUUUUAUAACCGAGUCACUCUCGUAGUGAACUAGCUUGUAAGUCCUUUCAUCGUUUCCAUAUUUCUGAAUCCUGAAAAAGCUCUCUCUCGUGCUGGAGCUACCACCAGUGGUUACAUAGUUCUUGUCAGAACUUGAGGAGGUAUCGACUUUCCAUAUCUUUGAAGAAGGGCAGAGCCAUAUCGGAGACUGGAAUUCGAUAACUAGAUCGGUGUUUGUUGUCAAUACAUCAUCAUUUUGGGAAGACGGAUUGGAGAAAUUUACAGGAAGGCCUGGCUGAAAUGGAAGGAGUGUUUGGACAAUACCUAAUGGACACAAGUGAGUUAGGUCAGUGCUUGCUGGGACAAGACCGCCUCCUUUCUUGUCUGAACCUGGUUGGAUGAAGUACUGGGUUUGACUCUUGAGUGGGUUUCCAUUUGUGUCCUUGGCGGGUUCCACUUCAUCUUCAGCCGAUACUGCAACAGCUGAUACGAGAAGGAACAAAGUGAAGAAUGACAAUGGCUUAUUGUUACCCAUGGUAUUUCUUGUGUGACUUGAGUCCAAAGCAAACACAUUGAAAUGGGUAUUUAUAGCAGCAAAUUCAUGUUAUAAGGAACUUCGACCGUAAAAAUGUAAAAUCUUUGUUGCUUCAUAAGCUUCUCGUGACGCAGAAAAUGGCAAAUAUUUAUGAGCCAUGUGUACUGGUUCCUGUCAUUUUCAUGAAGGAUAAAGUUCUUUAUAACAUCAUGAUUAUUAGAUUAAUACGUUAUUAACCAAUUAUUUUGUAGGCAAACUAUAUGAUUAAUUUUGGAAAUAUUCACUUAGCAUAUGUCAUCUUAGCUAGGGGUCACCUUUUACACUAUUUAUUCCAGACAGAAGUUCUAUAUAUAUAUACCUUGAACUGCAAAGUUUCAAGUAAUCUGUUUGCUGUAAUCGUAAUUGCAGACACAAGGAAGAUUGAUGACAUGAAAUAUGAAGCUUGUUGUUAACAAUCGCCAAUCAAAUUAGAAGCGAAGCAAUCAAAACGUAUUGAGGCAAAUAUCGGUUUAGAAUUUGUAUAUUAUAAUGUAAAUGAAUAAUUUUACAAUGAUUUAGACUCAUAUUUAUAACAAGCUUAAAACAUGAUUUUCUUUUCAUUUUACUAGUAUACUGAGAUUUAAAACACAUCCAGAUAUAACGCUAUUCUAUUUACUAUUUAUGUUGAUGUUUAAAAUUGUACAAAAAUAAUGAAAAGAACAUAGUGCUAUUUUUUUGUAAUAUUGGAAAAUAAACAGAAUAUCAUUAUACACACUAUAGUUUUGUACACUGAAUGAUACGUUCCCACAAUUAUAGUGAUCGUUUUUUACGAUUGAAAUCAUAGUAUAUGUGAAAAGUUAUUUACUAAGCUGAAAAAACAAAAGGCGUACACAUUUUUGGACUGCAUAGAAAUGAUGAAAUUGAGAAAUAAAAGAUGAUUUUUUUUUUGCGAUAUAUAGGACAUUUUUUUUUCAUGGUGAUUAUUGAGUGACUUGAGUCUAAAGCAAACACAUUCAUAUGUCUAUUUGUUAAUUUGUUAGAAACAAACUACAAGUCUACAAUAAAAAGUAGAAAUAUUUUAUUGCUUGCUUGAACUUCUAUUGACGCUGUCAGAAACAAAAUUGGCCUAUUUUUCUUAACAGCAUGAGAAUCAUACGUGAUUAGCCACUUUGUCGUUUAACCACGUUUUUCGUAAAAUAUUCUCUUAACAUAAUAUAGCUUAAGAGCCACCGUUUAAUCUACUCUUUAUAAAAACAGAAGCAAUAAAGUAUUUUUUUUUAUUGUAACUGAUAAGUGAAACUUAUGAUCGCAGACACGAGAAAGAUUCACACAAUUGAUUUUUUUUUAAUGGGAGCACCUAAAAAGAUAAAGAUGAUAGUACUAUCCACCGCUAACUCAUGUUGAGGGGGGGGGGGGGGGUGAAAGACAAGAGAAACUAUGAGAAGAUAACUUCUUAUUCAUAUAUUGUUACGUAUCAGGUUAUAUACACAAGCUACAGACACAAGAUAACUAUCAAUCUCCUCGUCCUUAUCUCUAACUAUAACAACAAUAUUCUCUCCAAUAUACUCUCCUAUGGAUAUAUCGGUUCUAGACCUCUAGAACCUUAACACUCCCCCUCAAGUUGGAGCGUGUGGAUUGCACACUCCUAACUUGGACAACAAGUAAUGAAAUGCAGAGCUCCCCAACGCUAUUGUUAGAAUAUCCGCUAGCUGCUCGUUGGUCCUAACGUGCCUUGUUGCUAUCAGCUUAGCUUUCACUGCAUCUCUCACACUAUGACAAUCCUUCUCUACAUGCUUCGUACGCUCGUGGAACACCGGGUUCGCAGCAAUGUAGAUAGCUGACUUGCUAUCGCAGUACAAGUCCAUUGGACUAUCAUGUUUUACUCCAAGAUCAGCAAGCAACCUCUUCAACCACUUCAGCUCCUUCAACGCAUCCGACAUUGCUCUAUACUCGGACUCAGCUGAAGAGUGAGAAACUGUAUCCUGUUUCUUGGUUCUCCACGCCACCGGCGAGUUUCCCAACAACACUAUGUAAGCUGAGAGUGAUCUCCUCGUCAACGGACAUCCACACCAAUCAGAAUCACAAAACGCGCGUAUCUGUAGGUCACUAUCAGCUCUAAGCAUAAUACCCUGACCUGGACUUCCCUUCAAGUAGCGUAUGACUCUCAUCGCAGCAUUCCAAUGCUCCUCCCGUGGCUGAUGCAUCACUUGCGACAGUACAUGCACACAGUAACUCAAGUCCGGUCGAGUAAUAGUUAAAUACACCAGUCUACCUACUAUUUGACGGAACCGCACGGGAUCUUUACAGAGUGGACUUCUCUGCUCUCCUCGUUCUUCUCGCAGAAGCUUGUGAUUCACUUCCAUCGGAGUAGACACAGGUUUACUCGCAAGCAAACCAACCUCAUUUAUAAUAUCCAGUGCAUACUUCCUCUGAGACAAAAACAUCCCCUCGGGUCCUCUCGCAAUUUCUAUGCCCAGAAAAUACUUUGCUCUUCCAAGGUCUUUCAUGAGAAAGCACUUACUCAUAUACCUCUUGAAUCUCUCCAACAUUUCAAGAUCAUUUCCUGCUACAAUCAGGUCGUCCACAUAAAUAAGAACACGCACACAGCUUCCAUCUUUCUCAUAACAAAACAGAGAGUAAUCUUCAUAGGAUUGUACAAAACCAAAGCUCUUUAAAGCCUCCGUCAACUUCUCAAACCAGCACCUUGGAGCCUGUUUUAGUCCAUACAAAGACUUUCUCAAUCUACAUACCUUUCCAGGUUCAUCAGAAUGAAACCCUGGUGGCAAUCUCAUGUAUACUUCUUCCUCCAAAUCCCCAUGAAGAAACGCAUUACUCACAUCCAUCUGGUGCACCUCCCAGUUCUCUGCCACUGCAACCUCCAGUAGUGUGCGCACCGUAUCCAUCUUCGCAACGGGCGCAAAAGUUUCCUCAUAGUCCACACCUUCCACCUGAUGAUUACCACAACACACUAGCCUCGCUUUGUUUCUCUCUACUGUUCCAUCUGCGUUGUACUUGAUUGUAAACACCCAUUUACUUCCAAUCGCUUUUUUUCCUGCAGGAAGAUCCACAACAUCCCAUGUACGAUUCAACUCAAGAGCAUGAACUUCGCCUUUCACUGCCUUGUUCCAUCUCUUAUCUGCAAAGGCCUCUUUGUAAUUUUUAGGUAUCACUCCAGCACUAACGGCUGCGAGAAAGGCCUUGUGGUGCUCUGAGAAUUGAUCAUCAGAUACAUAAUCAGUAAUGGGAUAAAGUACUUGUGUCUUACCUGGCACCGCCGAGGAGACAUCUGAUCGCAGACCGGUGAUGGUGUCAUGUUUAUCAGAACCGACUUGUGCAUUGUAGACUACAUAAUCUUGUAGUUUGACUGAUGGAACUGUCUUUCUAUGUCCACGUCCAAGAGCCUCCUCUGGCGCAGUCUGAUCACUAACUUGCGGCGUUUCUUCCUGCACUUGUAUGUGCAUCUCAGCUUCUGUUCUCUGAGCCACCUCCGUAUCAGCGGUAGCUACUUCACCAGCAGUGUCAGCAGUGAUUACUUCACCGCUCCCCUUCACGGAGUAGAUUUCAUCAUCACACACAGACAUCAUCUGCGGCACCAUAUCAGUCUCAGCUACUUCUUUUUUUUCAUAAGGAUAACACUCCUCAUCAAAUACCACAUCCCUAGAGACAAAGAACUCAUUCUUGUCCAUGUCAUACACCUUCCAUCCCUUCUUUCCAAAAGGGUAUCCAACAAAAACACAUCUCUUACUCCGUAUUCCAAACUUGUCUUUGUCUCUUCUUGCUUGGUGCACAAAGCACAAGCACCCGAAUGUCUUCACCACUGCAUACGAUGGUGGCUUCCCAUACAAGCACUCAUACGGCGUCUUUCCAUUCAGUACUUUCGUCGGUGUCCUGUUUAUGAGAUAAGCUGCUGUUAGAACACUCUCUCCCCAAAACCGAACAGGAAGACUAGCCUGAAAGAGUAGCGAGCGCGCGACAUUGAGUAUAUGCCUAUGCUUUCUCUCUACACGCCCGUUCUGCUGAGGAGUGCUCACACAAGAUGUCUGAUGAACUAUUCCUUUCUCUGCAAAGUAGUUCGACAAGCACAUAAACUCUGUCCCAUUAUCACUCCUCACCGUCUUGACCAGUUUACCAAACUGUCGAUGUGUGAGAUUGAGGAAAUUCGGCAACACUUUCUUUACCUCACUUUUCUCAAGCAGUAGAUGGAUCCAUACAGCUCUUGAAAAAUCAUCUACAAUUGUGAGAAAGUAUUUUGCUCCACACGAAGAAGAUACACGAUAGGGUCCCCAAAGAUCAACAUGAAUCAAAUCAAAUGGAGCUAAACUUUUAUUAAGACUUUCUGAGAACACUUCUCUUGUUUGUUUAGACUGAAAACAAAUAUCACAUCCACCAAACUUGUUUGGGACGUCUUUAACACCAGAUACAAAAGGUAAAAAACUCAAAACACCAUAAGCAGGAUGUCCUAGACGACGAUGCCACACAGCCUGAUCCUCUGAAGCUUUAACUCUGUGACCCCUCGCCACUGUUACAUCCCGAUAAACAUAGACACCAUCUUUAACUUCACCGGCUCCAAUCAGAGUCCUCGUAAAACGGUCCUGCAAAAUACACAACGUAUCUGUGAAUACAGCCAAGCAACCAGUUUGUCUCAGUAACUUCGCAACAGAUAACAAAGUACAAUUCAAAUUUGGAACAAAUAAGACAUGAUCCAAUUUCAACUUUGCGGACAAACGCAGACAACCACUUUUAGUAGCCAUAACCUGGCUUCCAUCCGCAAAGCUCACUGGACAAGGGACUAUAUGUUGAACAUCAACUAACAACAUCAAGUCCCCUGUCAUGUGAUGCGACGCGCCAGUAUCAAUGAUAACCUCACCAGUUUGUACCAUACCAUUCAACCGAUCCGGGAUUGGAGACGGCUUCUGACGUUCGAGCAAUGAUGUGAGAGACGCCCAUUGUUCAGGAGUCAACUGUGGAACUGAUGAUCCUUGAUUACCGGCAGAGUUUCCAGCUUGAACCGCAUUAGCUCGUGUGGAGUUUGAUCUUCCUCUGCCACCUCUUCCUCUGCCACCUCUACCACUUGCCUGAUUUCUUUCUGUAAACCACUCAGGGAAUCCAAUGAGCUGCCAACAUUCCUUCUUCUCGUGUCCAGCUCUGCCACAGUUGCUACACACUAUCGAGGAACGACUCUUUGCAACCGCAGCCAUCGCCGCACUCACUGUUUGAUCAUCGUCUCCUUCUCGCUGAACACUUUUCAUCGUAAAUCCCACUGGCGUCUCCUUCUCGCUGAACACUUUAUACACAAGCUACAGACACAAGAUAACUAUCAAUCUCCUCGUCCUUAUCUCUAACUAUAACAACAAUAUUCUCUCCAAUAUACUCUCCUAUGGAUAUAUCGGUUCUAGACCUCUAGAACCUUAACAGGAGGAAAUCGCCUAUUCCCCUAUAAACUAAUUGUUUAUGGUUCUUUUACACAAAAACUUUUAAACGAUGUCAAAAAUUGCAUGAAAAUCGAAAAAAUAGCUUAUUCCCAUAUAAACUAAUUGUUUUUAGUUUUUUUACGUACAAACUUUUAAACCAUAUCAAAAAGGAAAAUUUACUAAUAAAGAACAAAAAAACUUAUUCAUUGUCCCCUUAGAAUAGUAUUAGGGAUUCUUUUACACUUAGAAAUAAUAUUAAGGUAAAUCCAAUUUUAACCCUCUAAUUAUACAAUUUAAAAACAAAUUAAAAGAAAAACUAAUUUUCAUAUAUAGUCCCAUUUACUCAUUAUUUACCGACUUCAAAAACACGGUUUACCCGUCGCAGAGUUUUCAAGUUCUCGCCGGCGUCUCUUCGUUCGUCACCUCUCUUUGGUACAACCUACAACUCUUCAAAGAUCUCUUUGAACAUGGUGGAAUUGAAAGUUUUCUCUAGAAACAAGAGGUUCUUUCAACAUUCUUCUUCCGUAAGACUAGUAUAGCUAACGUGACAGAUGGUUUUUAUGUGGUUCUUAGCCACACUGUGUCUGUUUUUUUUUCAAUUCAGGGAAAAAUCUAAGGAAACACAAUGCAACAGCCGACCAGCCGAAAUCAAUGCUACAUUUGGAGAUUCGUUCAUGACUUGUAGCAGUAGAACCAAGCCAAUUAUUUGUUUCUCAUCACAGCCGACAUUAAACCAACUUAAUAUUGUAGCAGACCAUGCCGUUUUGCUGAUUUUGUUUGCUCUCAUUAGGUCUUGAUGUGAUCAUUGACCUCUCUUUUAUGUGACUGGUUUCUAUUGUUUACAAGUAUGGAAACAUGUUUUGUUGCUCUGCUCUUGCUGUCGAGACGUGUUUCGUUUGGGUACUUUACGGUUUGUUAUAGUUGAGACAACAUUUAUGGACUUGGAAAAAAGGAAAUUAAACUCAGUUUUAUAUUUAUGGAUUUGGAGAAAAAAAAGAAAACUCAGUUUGAAAAGUCAUGAGGUGAGCAAUCUGUUGGGACCUUGUCAUCAAACUCAUCAGUGGAGUCAAGAACUAUUCGCCUUGUUGGACUUCUUCUUCCCUUUGUUGGCAUACGAUAGUUAAACGCAUAUUCCUUCUCUUUAGCUUCUCAAGCUUUUUAUCACUACCUUCAUUAUCAUUGACAAUAGAAAGUGAAAUAAGAAAGUGAAGAAAAACUUUGGUGAAGAAGAAGAAGUUUGUUAAUUUAUGGCAAAAAACUAAAAAAAGAAAAUAAACAAGAUUUAAAAGAUUUUAGGAAUAUUUUAUAACUGUUUUUAGCUAGAUUUUCGAAUUUUUUUUACAAAUCUAGUAGAACUUACAUUCUACCAAAGUUGGAAAAGAGAUGAAGUGGUAGAUGUGAAAAACUGAGAUCGUAGAGAAAGGAAAAGUGUGAAGAAAGUAUGUUCUGCCGAGGCAGAUAUGAUAACUUUUAUUAUGCCAUAUAAUCUACCAAAUACACAGAACAUAGAAGAAAAUGUAGAUUUGUUAUUCUGUCUUAGUAGGUUGAAAUGUUUUGGUGUAUUGUGCAUUCUACCUUGGGUAGAUCAUUGUGUCUUAGGUAGACUGUAUAUUCUAAGUCGUCGUAGAUGGUAGAUUUGAUAUACUAACACCUUUAGCCUAUGUUUAAAUUUACUAUUCCAAAUAUUUUUUGAAUCCAAAAAUAUUUUUUAUAUAUGCACAUUCUUGACUACUUCAUGUUUUAUAUUUUUCUUAAUUUUUUUGCAUUGUAAAUAUAUUGAUAUGAAUUUUGAUUUAUAAGAAGGGUAAUGAAAGUCCAAAAGUGAUAAAAUUUGAUUUCGUACUAAGGGAAAAAUAGUUUAGUUUACUUGUUCUGUUUUCCCAAAAUUCCCUAUCAAAAAACACAUGAAUAACUUUAUUUUUUUAAUUACAUAUACAAACUAUCGAUUUUAAACUAAUUUCCCUAAAACCGUAAACAAUGUUAUUUAAACUUAACUUGAUUUAUGACAGGUGGAAAGUCGAUUGAAUUUGAGUUGAUAAAAAAUAUUACGCCAUUUUAUUCUUUUUCUUUUUUUUAGCAACUGCUCUUCUUCUUUAGAAAUCGUUUUACUCUUCAUCAUCAAUUGGGGAUUAAAUUUAUUUUUCUGCAGCAGAAUAAAACGUUUUACAUGAUGCAUAAAGAAAGAAGAGCAACAAUGCUAGCUUACCAAUCUCCAUGUAUUCCCACAAGAAACUAUAAAACCGGUGCAGUUCUCCAAUUGAUGAUGAAGAGUAAAACGAUUUAUGAAGAAAAUAAGCAAUUGACAAAAAAAAACAAUAAAACAAAGUAGUAUUUUUUUUAUCAACACAAAUUAAACCGGUUCUCCAUCUAUCAUAAACCAAGUUAACGUUUAAAUAACAAGUUUACGAUUUUAGGGGAAUUCGUUUAAAUCGAUAGUUUGUGUAUGUAAUUCAGAAAAUAGAGUUGUUCAUGUGUUUUUUGGUAUGAUUUAAAAGUUCGUGUAUGAAAAAGCCAGGAACAACUAGUUCAUAGGGAAAUAAACCAUUUUCUAUAGUUCAUGUGGUUUUUGGCAUGAUUUCAAAAUUUAUGUGUGAAAAAACCGGAAACAACUAAUUCAUACGAAAAUAUGUCAUUUUUUAGAGUAAGCUGAAAAGUAUCAGCGACAUAUUUUUUGUUCCUUGCAUGUAUUAAUUAAUACACCGAAUUUAACAAAUGUGUAAGAGCACCAUUAAUGGUGGAUUUCUACCCAUAGAUUUCUAAAGAUUAAUUAAUUAAUAUUCUAAAAUGGUUGAAUCUGAAUAAUUAAAUUUUAAGUCUAAAAAAGUGUGUACCACUAAUAGAAUGCCACAUUUCUAAUAGAAUGCCAUCUUUCGUCAUCAUCUCUGAAUUCUUCUGAAAUGCUUCUUCGUUACGAGACGAUUCUCGUUUUUUCUAUUGUCUCUCUCAUGCUUUUGACUUUUUUAUUAUUUUAUUUUGGGAAGAUACCCAUGAAAAGAAAGAUGAUAUUGUUGCUCUAAUAUUUAAAUGGAAGAAACUCUCUCUACGGAAAGACUAAUAUGUUGCACGGUGUUAAAGACAAGAACAGAGGUGAACACAUAGCACUGCUGCCGUAAAUGAUACUAGGUGGUUGAUUCAAUGUUUAAUAUAAACUAGAGUCUGAAUCCGUACAUUCGUGCAUAUAUAUUUUUUUUUUUAUAAAUAUAUAAUUUUGAUAUUAUCCUAGAUGUCAUAAAUUAUAUAUGAUUUAGAUUUUAGUAGUAUAUAUUUUGUAACUCUAUAAUCUUAUUGUUUAGAUUUCUUAUUUGACAUUAUUAAUAUAUAGUGAUCUAUUUUAUGUAUUUUAUUUUAUUUUAUUAAUUAUUUCAUACAAUAUAUUUUUAACAUUAAUUUAGUUAUACUUUUAUAUUUUUAUAGUAUAACUAACCAUUUUAGAAAUGAUGAUAUAAUAUGUUAGCUCACAUCUCAGUAAAAUGUGUUUUAAUUAAAAUCACAUAUUAUAGCAAUUAUAUAUAUAUAUAGUAAUAUAGCUUUGAAAAUAUUAAAGGUUAAUUAUAUUAUAAAAAUCAUAUAGUUGUAUAACCAUAAUUUACCAAUCAUAAAUUCAUACUAAUUGGCCAAAAUCGAAGCAAUGUUGUUGUAUAUAUCUGACACACCACAACUAAUUAAAUACAAUAAUUCUAUUAGGCUUUGGAAAGUUUUAAAUACUAUAAUAAAUAAGAAACAAUUAAAUUCAAUAAAAUGUUGAUAGUUUUAAAUGAAAAUAAAUGGCGAAAGUUUGACGAAUAUAUAGUAAAUUAGGAUGAAACUAAUUAAUGUUGUUAGCCAUAAAAAUAGGAGUAGCACAUUUGUAAUAUUGGAAGUAAACUAAGGGAACUUCAAAAAAUCUCUUAUUUAAUUAUAUUGAUAUCCAUUUCUAGUGAGAUAUGAAUAGGUCCAAAACUUAAAUAACAAUAUUUAUAAAUAGAUAAAAAAAAAUAGGACUCUAGAUUAAUAGAAUGAAUAUAUAAAUAUGAAUCGAUUGAUUAAUCAAAUUUAUAAAAAGCAAAAGAAUGAAAAUUUAUAAAAACCAAAUAAAACCAUGCGAUUAAUGAAAAUUUAUGAAUAACCAAAUACAUAAAUAUGAAUCAAUUGAUUCAUAAAAUCAAGAUUGAAUAUAAAGCUCAAACCUAAUUCAACUUAUCCUGUCAUAACUUGACUAAAGCUAAAGCCUAAGAGCGUCCGCAACGGGGGUUCAUCCCGAAUCCUUAACGCUAAAGCAUAUGUUAGUUUUAAUAUGAUAAUAAUAUUUAGGCUAAUAAACGUAAGGAUUGGUCCGUAAUUAGGAGGUUUAAGGACUUGAUCCUUGUGGUACGUGGUCGAAUUUGAGUGGAUCGGUCGUUAAAGCUGGAGAUUUAUUAGUUCUUUAGAAUCAGUCUUCUUCUUCCCCUCAGCGAUAGUCGGAGAGAUAUUUUCCCGUCGAAGAAAAUGAAGAUUGACGAUAACGAAGGCGUCUCAGCUCCCAGCAAGCACCUGGUCUUAGCUUACUACGUCACUGGACACGGCUUCGGUCACGCCACCCGCGUCGUCGAGGUUUUCCUUCUGACCCUCUCUCUAUCUGCAUCAUUCUUAUCUGUGACUACUGCGUUAGUUCGAUCGUGGCUAAUUUGUGGCAAUUCAGGUUGUCAGUCACUUGAUCGCAGCCGGGCAUGACGUUCAUGUCGUCACCGGCGCGCCUGAUUUCCGAGAUUCAGUCUCCUAGGCUUAAGAUUCGAAAGGUUUCUAUCGAUCAUUUACUUGCUUACUCUUUCAAUUGUUUACUGGAAACAUAAGGAUAUAUUGAUUAAUUGGCGAUUGUUAGGUUCUUUUGGACUGUGGAGCUGUGCAAGCUGAUGCUCUGACUGUAGAUCGUCUUGCCUCCUUAGAAAAGGUUUUAACUAAUGUGAUCACUUGUAAAUGAUUAUUGGUCUUAUCUUGAUUGCAAUUUCCAAAACUUUACACUUUUUUGUGAUGCUGCCACUUCCACAGUAUGUGGAAACAACUGUGGUUCCUCGAGCUGAAAUCUUGAAAACAGAAGUGGAGUGGCUUCAUUCUAUCAAAACUGAUUUCGUGGUAAUUAAUUUUUUCUUUUCAUACAAUCUCUCGGCCCAUCGUUAACUUAUCUUGGACUUUUGCUUUGUAAAAUUCACUUGGAGAAUUUUUCACGUUUGUUAAACACAGGUGUCUGAUGUUGUCCCCGUAGCGUGCCGUGCAGCGGCUGAUGCUGGCAUACGUUCUGUCUGUGUCACCAAUUUCAGGUGACGUUUUUUAAUAUCAUACUUUCAGUUUUGGUGUAUCUUGUUUGGCCUUCUGAGGUCUUGAGCGUGUUGUAGUCCACGUUCACAUCCUAGCUUUUGUUAUCAAGUGUUCAACUCCCCUAUUUUAGAAGAAAAUGUUUAUAGUGAAAAUAUAGUUACAAAUUGAUUUUCUGCCAUGAUCGAAUUGAAUAGCGCAAAUUGGUUUCAUACUCAGCUUGAUCCUUGAAGUUAGACUUUCCAUUGAUUCAUGAUUGACCAAAAAUUUGAUGCUGAAUGGUUGAGCUAGGAUUCAAUGUAGGUGACACCAUUGUACACAUCAUUUUUAAUUACAAUCCUUAACUAUUCAAAAAGUAAAAAAAAACAAAAAAAAAUAAUAUUCUAAUCCUAAGGAUUCGACCUCCCAGCCUCACCGUUGCGCAUGCUGCAAAUUUGUUGGAAGGAUCUUUGAUCUGACCAACAAACAAAACAGUUCCAGUUUUGUCUUCCCUAAUUAAGAACAAAAAUGGAUGACCUGCCACAAAAUCUAUCCUCUUAGGAGGCUCCAUAUAUCUCGCACAUCCACAACUGACUACAAAAGUGGCAGCAGCAGCUUUGGCGCCUUCUUCAUCAAUCUCCACACAUGCUUUAUGAUACAACGCCAUUGAACGUAAUCCCAAGUCUUUGGCCGUCUAAACCAUAAGCAAUCUUAAACUUUGGGAUUCUGAAUUUAUUAACUAAAACUUUGGAUAUUGGAACGUGACAAUCCACGAAUCCAGAAGUAGUUGUCAUUGCCUUCAUAAGAUCAUCCAAUCCAUCAUUCUUGUCUGGGAGAUAAAAGUACAUCGAGAAGCUGCCAUUGGUAGCAUCAACUACUUGACGAUAAGGAAAGCUGCGAUUAGUAUCGACAUCAUUGCCUUGUCGGUAAGGUAUCCUGAGGACCUUGAAACCAUCAUAAGCCUUUAUGUAUUGGUUCUUGUAGCUACUCAUGAAUGGCACGAACACUGAGGUUCCACUGAGAAGUUGGAACUCUUUGUCUUUUGUGUAAGACUUGUCGAAUGGAACUUCCCAUGCUCCUUUGAAGUACAGUGCGUUUCCAAAAACGCAGCCGGUUUGACUCGAGACGGAUCCAGGAGGAAGAAGAUCUUUGAUGAGAUCAUUGGUAUGAUCUUCAGCCCAUUUAUUCAGCUCUAUACGAACUUUUUUGGCCUGUUGUAUCAAAUUUUUAUGUCAGACAGAACAUAGAAACAGAAUUAAAUCAAGAAACAGAACUUAGGAUUAAAAAGGUUACGUUUGUUAGGAAGUCUACGCCAUCGAAAGCAGCUUUGAAGACAUUCUCAAAGAGAUCCUUGAACGAUGAAUCAAUGGGCAGCGUUUGCACGAUCCAGACCCCGUUGACGGACGUGAUCUUUGGUCCACCGUUGGCGCUAUGGUCAGCGAAGACAACGGAAACGAGCUUGCUGAAGACGGCGUUGAGUUCGUGGGUUGAAGAAGACCUCAGGAAGGAGAGGAUCUCGUUGGAGACUGAAGAACCGUCAGGGCCAGAUGCCGCCAAAGUGAGCACUGUUAGGAGUGAACCUAAUCACCCCUUUGAUACCUUAGAACACAAGUUGCUUUGAUGCCAAUUAAGGCCCCUCCUCAAAGCUAAGAGAGUUUGUGAAAGAACAAACUAAAUAAACCAAACAAGUUACUACAAUUUUCUCUUCUCCUUUCAUUUAACUCCAACUCACUAUUUAAAUACAAAGCUAGAAGAAAUAAACUAACUACUACUACGUAAGAUGUGGGUGCAACACACAUCCUCAAAUCAUGGAAACAUAACUACACUAAAUAAAAGACAAUAUAAUAAUAACUAAAAUAUUUGAACAAUGAAGAUGGUCUUCAUGGAGAUGGCCACGUCUUCUUCUUCUUCGUAUUGUAUCUCAUCAAUACUCCCAUCCUCCAAACAACCUUGUCCUCAAGGUUGGACACAAAACAUGGAAAGCUUGUCUGAACCUGUUCUAUUCAAACAUGUCUUACACGCUUGCUUAAUGAAGAAUCGCAUUGUGGUGGUGGAGGUAAUUGACUUGGGCUUGAAUUCCUUUGCUGAACACACGGGGAUGUGUGACUUCUUAUCACGUAAAGGUGGUGGUCUACCAGGGAGUGGUUCAUCUUCAACGACACAUACCUCCGAGACAUACACAUGAAAAAUCUUGUGUAGCAAUGAGUGUUUGGCUAGUAGGAGACUGUAAACAACUUGAUCAAACCGGUUGAUACAAAUCUUCAAACGAACCUCGUCGUCACCGUUACGCCCACGAUCAAACGGUUGUUUCCCAUAAGUACCAAAUAAGACAUCUUUGACACGACUGGGUAAAGCGCAAGAUCCAGACCCAUACUUGGAAGUUAAAUCGUUUAUGCUCUACUGUUGCUUGAAUCGAGAAGUGCGAGGCUUGUGUCCCAUCGGAGAAGAUUGUGCUCGUAGACUUUUUGGUGGUGCAGUCUUGUGAGCCAAGUUUUCUUGUGCACAUAGUGGUGCAUUACCACCAUCAGAUCUUCUUCCACUAAGUUUGAUCUUUUUCACUAUCUCCAUCAUAUGAUUCAUGGUUGCCUUGAGACUUUUAAAAUCUUCAGUUAUACUAACUUUUAUCUUUUGGAACUCGGCAUGAACUUUAUGGAGCAAGUCAGCUUGCACUUCAUGAAAUACGUCAUACACCGGCUCGCUCUCGCCAAUAGAGUAUGAGAAGUGAUCGUAAUAAUCUUCACUUUCAUGAAGUUGUUGAAACAUUAUUUUUUUUGUGUGGAUGAAAAUGAUUUGAUACCACAAUUAAGUGGUCCGGAUCAAAUUGCUUAGAACACAAUUUGCUUUGAUGCCAAUUAAGACCCCUUCUCAAAGCUAAGAGAGUUUGUGAAAGAACAAACUAAAUAAACCAAACAAGUUACUACAAUUUUUUCUUCUCCUUUCAUUUAACUCCAACUCACUAUUUAAAUACAAAGCUAGAAGAAAUAAGCUAACUACUACUACGUAAGAUGUGGGUGCAACACACAUCCUCAAAUCAUGGAAACAUAACUACACUAAAUAAAAGACAAUAUAAUAAUAACUAAAAUAUUUGAACAAUGAAGAUGGUCUUCAUGGAGAUGGCCACGUCUUCUUCUUCUUCGUAUUGUAUCUCAUCAAUACUCCCAUCCUCCAAACAACCUUGUCCUCAAGGUUGGACACAAAACAUGGAAAGCUUGUCUGAACCUGUUCUAGUCAAACAUGUCUUACACGCUUGCUUAAUGAAGAAUCGCAUUGUGGUAGUGGAAGUAAUUGACUUGGGCUUGAAUUCUUUUGCUGAACACACGGGGCUAUGUGACUUCUUAUCACGUAAAGGUGGUGGUCUACCAGGGAGUGGUUCAUCUUCAACGACACAUACCUCCGAGACAUACACAUGAAAAAUCUUGUGUAGCAAUGAGUGUUUGGCUAGUAGGAGACUGUAAACAACUUGAUCAAACCGGUUGAUACAAAUCUUCAAACGAACCUCGUCGUCACCGUUACGCCCACGAUCAAACGGUUGUUUCCCAUAAGUACCAAAUAAAACAUCUUUGACACGACUGGGUAAAGCGCAAGAUCCAGACCCAUACUUGGACGAGUUAAAUCGUUUAUGCUCUACUGGUUGCUUGAAUCGAGAAGUGCGAGGCUUGUGUCCCAUCGGAGAAGAUUGUGUUCGUAGACGUUUUGGUGGUGCAGUCUUGUGAGCCAAGUUUUCUUGUGCACAUAGUGGUGUAUUACCACCAUCAGAUCUUCUUCCACUAAGUUUGAUCUUUUUCACUAUCUCCAUCAUAUGAUUCAUGGUUGCCUUGAGACUUCUAAAAUCUUCAGUUAUACUAACAUUCAUCUUUUGGAACUCAGCAUGAACUUUAUGGAGCAACUCAGCUUGCACUUCAUGAAAUACGUCAUACACCGGCUCGCUCUCGCCAACAGAGUAUGAGAAGUGAUCGUAAUAAUCUUCACUUUCAUGAAGUUGUUGAAACUUUUUUUUUUGUGUGGAUGAAAAUGAUUUGCUACCACAAUUAAGUGGUCCGGAUCAAAUUGCUUAGAACACAAUUUGCUUUGAUGCCAAUUAAGACCCCUCUUCAAAGUUAAGAGAGUUUGCGAAAGAACAAACUAAAUAAACCAAACAAGUUACUACAAUUUUCUCUUCUCCUUUCAUUUAACUUCAACUCACUAUUUAAAUAUAAAGCUAGAAAAAAUAAACUAACUACUACUAUGUAAGAUGUGGGUGCAACACAUAUCCUCAAAUCAUGGAAACAUAACUCCACUAAAUAAAAGACAAUAUAAUAAUAAUUAAAAUAUUUGAACAAUGAAGAUGGUCUUCAUGGAGAUGACCAAGUCUUCUUCUUCGUACUGUAUCUCAUCAAGCGCGGAGUUUAUCGACGCUGGUGAGAAAAAGGAGUUAGAGUGUUUGGCUUUGGUAGAGAAGAGAUGCUUCGAAACGAUCAGCGCAUGUCCUUUUGGUUCUUAAUGGAUUUUUCUACACCAAUGGUUGACUUGGACGGGAAGCUAGAAGGAUUCAUUGUGAUCUUAGCUACAAUUCUAUGAUUAAGAAAACUUCGGGGUUAAACAAUAUUUAUAGGUUUAUAUAAAUCCUCUUUAGGUGUAGGAUCGGAUAAGUUGAGGUCGGUUGUAUAAUCUUUCCUUUUUGAAAAAAAAUCUUUUUUUCCUUUCUUAGAUUUGUUAUAUGACAUCCUUUUUUGUCUUUUUACCUUUACACAAACUUUCCAUCUUUAAUAAAGUUAUAUUUUUACUCUAUCUUCGAUUUUUGUGUUUUUAAUUUGUUAUAGUUUUGUUCUUACAGUUCUUUUGAUAUGUUAUAAAAUAAUUGUGUAGUAUUUUAAAAAAAAUAAAAAUAAAAAUAGAUUUUAUAGAGAAAUAGCCUUAAAUAAUCAUAAAAAAAGAUUUUGUUCUCAAAUUAGCAUUUAUAGGUCAAAAUGACAAAGAUAGAUUUCUUUAAAGAGGUUAAAGUAAAAUUAUCCCCAUUCUCUACGUACAGUAGAAUCUCUAUAAAUUAAUAAUGUUAGAAUUUUGAAAUUUUAUUAAUUUACAAAAAAAAAAAAAUUUAGAUUUAUUAUUUUAAAAUAUAUUUAUUCUAAGAUAAGAAAAAUAUUUGAUUUUAGUGUAUAGACAUUAAUUAUUAUUUUUUUUUUAAAUUUGACAUCUAUAUUAACUUUAUUAUAAUAUAUGGUGUAUAAUGUAUAUUGCAUUGAACUUAAAUGUGGUUUUAGAUAUAAUAUUAUUAAAUUUCAUCAAAAAUAUAUUAUGUGUAAAGAAAAUAUAAAGAUAAUUCCAUUGUGAAUAUAAAACAAACAAUAUAAUAAUAUGUUUUUACUUAUAUAAAACAUGUAUACAUAGAAAUUAUUAAUUUAUAAUUUUAAUGAGAUCAUAUAUUUACAUAUAAUUUUCUAAAAAAUUAUUAUCUUAUUAUUUGAUCAAUUUGUGUCAAAUUUUGAACUGGCCCAAGUUAGAACCGACGAAAUUUAUUAAUUUAUAGGAAGUAUUAAUUUAUCGAGUAUUAAUUUAUUGAGGUUUUACUGUAUAUAAAUAAAUAUUUCUUCUUCUAAAAUGUACAAUUUUUUUUUGAAAUUUCUUUUAAAACUUUUUUAAAAACUUUUUUUUUUGAUUUUUUUUGUCAAAACAAUUUUAAAAAAUAGAAAGGGCUUCCUUUGUAUAUGAUAUCUUCUAAAAUUUGAGUUUAUAAAGACUUUCCUGAAUAUGGAUGAUAUCUUCCUAAAAUUUAGAAAGCUAUUGAUAAAUAUGUAUAAUAUUUUCAUAAAUCAUAAAUAAAUUAUUUGGAAAAUAUUCUUAAAUUCAAGAAUACCUUUACAAAUAUAUAUUUAUGAAUAUCUUACUGAAUUUGAAGUAUAUGUAAAUUUAGUAAGAUAUUUUCAAAUAUACACAACAUCAUCCUAAAGUUUUCGGAAGACCUCAUGGAUUUGAUAUCUAAACUUUUCAAAGAUAUUAUAAAAAAAAUUUUCGUAAAUUUUAGAAAGAUAUAAAUAUAUUGAGUAAUAUUUUUAAAUAUGAUAUAAAUCAAAUUCACGAAGAUGUCAUACAGAUUUGAAGGCAUUCAUGAAUUUGGAAAAAUGAUUCACAAAUUCAGUAAGAAUACACGUUCAGGAUCUCUUAAACUUUUUCAAGAAAACUCAUUCAUAAAGAGAAAUUUUGAUUAUUAUUUUUUUGAAAUAGUUUGAAAAAUAUUUCAGAUAAAUAUUUUGAUUUCUUGUUUUAUAAUGUCUAAUAUUUAUUUAUUUUUAUAUGUUUAGUAAUUAAUUAUUGAAAUUAAAAAUAUGGAUAGAAUUAUUAUUUAACAUUUAAUACGCCUAUUUUGUCACUUUGACUUUUGAAGGCUAUUUAGGAGACAAAAAAUUAUAAAUAUUAUUUAGGAGAUUUUCUCUUUUUAUAUGUAUCAAACUUUAAUAAAUAAUAUUUUAUCUUAAUAAAUCUACAUUAUAUAUUUCAUACACUCUGUAACUUCAAAUUUGUAAAUUUCACAUUUAUACAUUUAAUACAUCCCAUAAUUAUACGUUUUUUUUCUUUGGAGGUAUCCCAAGUCUACGGAGAGUUUCAGACUAAUCCCUAAAAAGAGAGUGCGGUCCACGGAUAGACUCACUGCGGAUAUUCAAAUGGACCGUAAGGUAGGUCCAUAUCCACGUGGUCACAAGAAUAAAAUAUAAUGGGAUGCCUUCAAAUCCAUAUUGCUUGACAACUCAAAAUUCGUCUACCACUAAACCACCACCAUAUGGUUAAACUCUAUAUUUAUACGUUUCACAUUAGUUUAACUAAAAUUAUGUGUAUAAAUAUAACUUUAUUGAAAUAUUAUUUAUUUUUAUUCUGUUGAACUUAUUUGACAAGUCGUCAUUAAAAACAUCAUUACUUUAAGAGCAACAUAAUCAGUAGAAAAUCCUCUUGGGUUCUAAAAAUAAAAUAUCAAUAUUAUAUUUAUAUGAUUAAAUUUUUAUUUUUUAAAUCAGUUGAAAAAAUGGCUGAAUGAUACAUGUUGUUUGCCGUUAUUAAUAGGUUCCUAAAAGAUGAGGUUUAAGAACUUUUGUAUAUUCUUUUUGAUGUUUUUAAUAUUUUUUAUUUUUUUUAAGUAGUAAGAGCACUUUUAACGGCAGUUCUCACCUUAUAAUCAAGAGCUGUCUCUUCUGCCUCUUGUGCAAGAGGCGACUUUAGUUGGGUUUGUGUACUGUUCACUGACACGUGGCGGUCUGCGACUGAUCCGUUUUUAAUUUUUUUUUUUAAAUCGGACAAAAAAAAUCUAAAAACUCACACCCCCUUACCGUUAAUCAUGCUCUAAGAACCUUCUAAUAACUCCUUGUUAGAGCUGCUCUAAAUAGCAAGCUUUACUUUCCGUCACAUCACUUCAAUAUGAAAGACAUUGUUUGGCUCUAUUUUUUCACCAAAAUUGAGCUUGAUUUAACGGUGGAAAGUUCUUGAUCUGCUUUUCGAUCAAAAUACCUGAAAAUAUUUUUUACACAAUAAAUAUUUGGAAAUACCUAAAACACUACUGGAAAUUAUAUAAAAGACUUACAAAUUAACCCCAUUUGAAAUCAGGGUAUUUAAAUUUGUAAAACUUAAGAGCCAUUAAUGUCACUUGUGUCAAUUUCUCAACUAAAAGAAUGGCAAUAAAAUCGAUAGAUUAAUUAAGCUUCCGAAUAUAUAUAUCCCUUCAUGUCAUGACAAAAAUCAUGCAUUUUUAGAAGCCAAACAAAUGAACCAUUCUUACGUCGAAUAAUUGGUUUUAUUGAUUAAUUCGAGGUUCAUCAGAGACAUUCAACUUAGCCGAUGUGGGAUGACGUUGAAUUAUAACACUUGGUCAAUUUUUGACAGUGCUUCACAUUCCGAAUUCAUCACUUCAUCACAUUAUUUCUAAUUCAGUUUAGCUUUAUUUUUUACAUAUAAAUAUACUGGAUCGUAGUGCUCAUAAGCAAGAUUUACAAAGAGCUAUGGUCAUGACGAUCACCAGUUUGGCCAAAAAAGCCACCUGAAAAGUCAAACGUCAGCUUCUAUAUUCUGUUAUAAAAACAGAAUUCCAACAGUCCUAAGCUCUGCAUUGCCAUUAAAAGACUUUUUGCUUCAGCUUCCAAAAGUGUGCGUGAAAAACCGGUCUUACCAUAGCCCCAAAAUAAACAUGGUCCAUUGUCUGAAUGUAUGAUCCAACAUGCUCGACCUUAUUUUGUGUCGUUAUUAAAACAUGCAUCAAAAUUAGAUGAGCUCUCCUUCGAUUAUAUUCUUCUCCCAGUUCCCUUUAUACUUUGUAAGACAAUGUUUACCAGAAGAAUCGCAGGAAUCCGAAAGAAUCUGUACCAGAAGCGGUGUGGGUGACUCGGACAGGAUUCGUUCCGGAGAUGUGAGCAAUGCUCUUACGGAAGUUCUAAGAGAGGAGAUGUGUCUCCCUCGAGCGGUCAGUGGCAACGCCAAACCUAGCAGUUGCAGUGAUGCUGCUCCGACAGACGCUGCAAGUACGAAGUUGACAAGCCCAUCAGAACUACAAGCCAACUGGUUCUGAUGGGCGAGAUCGUCCUCCAAAGAGAGCCAAAAUCGCCAAGACAGACUUGAGGUCGAGUUCGUCGAGCGAUAGUGCGGGCACAAAGCCUUUCUGCUGACAGUUUUCCCAUGCGAACUGUGUAAAGAAUAUUUCUUUUCCCUGUUAUAUGGUCUUAUAGUUAUCCGUUUUCUAUUGGAAUAUUGUUAUUUCUUAAUAUAUUUGGUGACCAAUGAAAUUGGAAAUAAAGCAGUAAUUCCUAAUUUAUAUCUAGUUUGAUGUACGAUUGAGAUUAAUCUAAAGGAAACCCUAAAGAGGAAUUAGGUCCUCUAUCCACCUAUAAAUACAUAUCUUUAGACCAUCGUAAAGAUAUCCUAAAAGCAACAACUAACGUUAUAAGCGAGGCAGAGAAACCUAAGAGUUCCUAAGAAGAGAUUGAGUUGUUCAUCUUCCAUUCAGGAUUCAAUCCAUCCAGGAAGAUCUCUCAGGCGAAAUGAAUCCAGGUAACUCUAUAAACAUUCAUAUGAUUCUAUUAUGUGAUUAACCUAAAUGUUUAAAGAUCUUAGGGUUCAUGUAAAUUUAACUUACAUGUGGUAUCAGAGCAUGGUUAUGAACAUCUGUUUAAUCCAUUAAGAAUAAUAGAUCUAUGAACUUGAUAAUUGAAAUUGAUAGAUCUGAGUAUUAAGAUUUCUAGAUCUGUUUAUUAUGAGUUUUAUUUUCGUAUGUGUGCGAACUUUGUGCAUCUGAAAUAAUUAUUUUUCUGUUUAUGAGAGUCAUGCAUAGUUUGUGCAUCUAAGUAUUAUAAUUUACUGUUUAAAAGAAUCGUGCAUAGUUUGUGCAUACCCGAAUUAUAAUUUUUCGCAUUACAGAAUCCGUGCAAAAACGGUGUUCUGCAAAUUAGAGUUUUUUCGCAAACCCUUUUCCGUGCAAAUUUCGGGAUUAUGUAAAUUAGGGUUUCCAAAGCCCUAUCCUGUAAAUAAUGAUUCGUGAAGUUUUUGUGCAAAAUUGAUAAUAAUAAUUGGUCUGUGCAUAAUUAGUACAAAGUGUUUUGUAUAUACUGCAGAAUCGUUUUGCACAUAAUUCGUACAAAACCGAUUUUGCACUUAAAGUUAUAAUCUUUUCUAUUCAUAAUCCGUAUAGAAAUAAUUUAUAAACUAAAACAAAAUUAGUACAAAACAUUAUUUCACAUAAAGUGCUUAUUAGGGUUUAGAUAUCACCACAGUGACUUUACCUUAAUAGUUGCAACUAAAAAACAUUAUUUAAGCCAAAUUUUUGAUCUUCUUAUGAAUUAUUUAGUUACCCACAGGUAGACUAUAAUCAUGAGAAUUGAUUAAUUACUUAAGAGCGUAUGUAUUGUGUAAACUAAAGACAUCCACAGAUGAUUUGGUUUGAGUAAUUCAAUACAUCACUCAAUAAUGGAAUGAUUGUUAUCGUGAAAGCUAAGGAUAUCCACAUAUAACUUAGUUUGAAUAAUUCGGUACAUCAUUCAAUAAAGUUCCAUGAAUCUGUGACCUUAUAUGAGAUUAUGUGAUUCCCACAGGAACAUUAUAAUUUCUUGUCAUAUACAUUCAAUUUUUUCGUGUUGAUUAAGUUAUGAAGCCUAAUUAAUACUUGUUCUAUCUCUAAAAUGCAACAACUUCUUCCGCUAGUUUGUCAUCUAUGGUCUCUUCUGUCCCCAUCCUCAUUGGAACCAACUUCUCCAAAUGGAAAGAGAAAGUUAAGUUCACAUUAGGUGUACUAGAUUUGGACUUGGCACUUCAUGAAGAAGAGCCUAGCCAACUCACUAAUGAUAGUACUAAGAAGAAAAGGCAUUCCAUAAAGCGUGGGUGAAAGCUAACAGAUUGAGCAUCAUGUUCUUAAGGAUGACAAUAGCUAGCAACAUCAAAACUUCCCUUCCAGUUGCAGAGAAAGCUAAGGCUUAUCUAACGACUAUAGAAGAACGGUUUAAGACUGCAGACAAAUCCCUUGCUGGGAAACUUAUGGCAGAUCUUACAACCAUGAAACAUGAUGGCACAAGGUCUAUGCAUGAACAUUGCAUUGAAAUGACCAAUCUUGCGGCUAAGCUAAAGGGUUUAGGAAUGAGUGUGGAUGACUCAUUUCUUGUCCAGUUUAUCCUAAACUCUUUAUCUCCUCAGUAUGGACCAUUCCAAAUCAAUUACAACACCAUUGUUGAAAAGUGGACAUCGAUUGAAUUGGCUAACAAACUGGUCCAAGAGGAAUCAAGGCUUGGCCGUGAAGGUAUUAAGGUUGCCCACUAUGUCCAAGGAGCUGGACCUAAAGCUAGGAAAAGACAUCAACCAAGUCAUAAAAGAGCACCACCCAGGAUGAAUGAUUCUAGUCAAGUCAAUGAGAAGAAGGCAAGAAAAGAUGACCGAUGCAACUUUUGCAAAAAGUCUGGACACUUUCAGAAAGAUUGCCCUAAAAGAAAACAAUGGUUUGAAAAGAAAUGUAAUCCUAUGGGGUUCAGUAAGCUUUUUCGAAUCUAACUUUGCUCAUGUUUCUUCUGAUACUUGGUGGAUUGAUAGUGGUGCCAAUGUACAUGUAACUAAUUCCUUGCAGGGAUUCCUUACAACCCAGACCAUAAAUCCAAGUGAAAACUAUAUACUUAUGGGGAAUCGAGACAAAGCGCCAGUUGAAGCUAUUGGCACUUAUCGUCUCAUUUUAGAUAGUGGAUUUUGUUUGGAUUUAUUUCAGACUCUUUAUGUUCCAUCUAUAUCCCGUAAUUUAGUUUCAGUAAGCAAACUUGAUUUGGCUGGUUUUAAGUCUUCUCAAGGAGAUGGUUGUUUCAAUUUAUUUUUGAACUCUAAUAAAAUUGGUUCUGGAAUAUUAGUUAAUGGUCUUUACAAAUUAAAUUUGUCUGAUCAAAAUUAUGAAACACAUCUCACCCUGCAAGAUAAACGUAAAACUAAAGCAUGUGCGAAUGAUUCAUAUUUCUUGUGGCAUAAAAGACUAGGACACAUUUCUAGUGAAAGAAUCAAAAGAUUGGUAAAAGAUGGAGUCGUACCGAAUCUUGAUUUUACCAACGGUAAAGAGUGUGUAGAUUGCAUUAAGGGUAAGCAAACUAAACACACUAAAAGAGGAGCCACAAGAAGUACACAGCUUCUUGAAAUCAUACAUACAGAUAUUUGUGGACCUUUUGACGUUCUAACUUUUGGAGGUGAAACGUACUUCAUUACUUUUAUCGAUGAUUAUUCACGUUAUUGUUAUCUCUAUCUAUUGCAUGCAAAGUCUCAAUCCGUGGAUGCUGUACAAGUAUUCAUUACUGAAGUUGAGAGACAAUCAGAUAGAAAGGUGAAAAUCAUUAGGUCAGAUAGAGGUGGUGAAUUUUAUGGCAGAUAUGAUGAAACAGGACAACAUCCUGGACCAUUUGCCAAACUCCUCCAGAAAUUAGGAAUCGUUGCUCAAUACACAACGCCUGGUUCUCCAUGGCAGAAUGGUGUAGCUGAAAGGCGUAAUCGUACUUAUAUGGGAAUGGUUAGAUCCAUGAUGAGUCAUGCUAAUUUACCUAUAUCCUUGUGGAUGGAUGCAUUACGAACUGCAGUCUAUAUCUUGAACCGAGUUCCUAGCAAGGCAGUUCCAAAGACUUCUUUUCAACUGUGGAAAGGCUGGAAACCUAGUCUGUCACACCUCCAAGUUUGGGGAUGUCCAGCUGAAGCAAGAAUAUACAAUCCACAUGAAAAGAAAUUAGAUUUCAGAACGUUCAGUGAUUUCUUUAUUGGUUACCCUGAGAAGUCUAAAGGAUAUAGAUUUUACUGUCCAACCCAUACUACGAGAAUAGUAGAAACCGGUAAUGCUAGAUUUUAUGAGAAUGGUGAGAUUAGUGGGAGUGAUAAAAUUUAAGAUGUGAUCAUUCAAGAAAUUAGGGUAAAUAUGCCUUUACCCUUAGUUCCGAAUGUUGGGAAUCCUCCUGUUGUAGAACCGUUGCACAACGAGGAAAACCAGUUGAAUGAUCCACCACUCCUUAAUGAAAAUAUCGCCAAUAAUGAACAUGAAGCACACGAGGAACCAGCAUUAAGAAGAUCAACUCGUGAGAGAAGAUCAACUAUUUCUGAUGAUUAUGUGCUUUAUCAAAUAGAAUCUGGAGAAUGGGAUUUAAAAGAUCCGGUUUCUUAUUCACAAGCCAUGAAAGAUGUUAAUUCUGAUAAAUGGAUCGAGGCCAGUAAAGAUGAAAUAGACUCAAUGGUUAAGAAUGAAGUUUGGAAUGUUGUUCCAUUGCCUGAAGGACACAAAGCAAUUGGGUGCAAAUGGAUCUAUAAAUCCAAGCUCGAUUGUCAUGGCAAUGUUAAACGACGUAGAUCCAGACUUGUAGCCAAAGGGUAUAAUCAGAAAGAAGGCAUUGAUUAUGGUGAGACUUUUUCACCUGUGUCUAGAAAAGACUCUCUCAGAAUUAUAAUGGCAUAUGUAGCUGAAUAUGAUCUUGAGUUACAUCAAAUGGAUGUGAAAAUCGUCUUUCUUAAUGGAGACUUAGAAGAAGAAGUCUAUAUGCGUCAACCUGAAGGCUUCAUAAUCGAAGGUCAGAAAGAUAUGGUCUGCAAAUUGAAGAAAUCAAUAUAUGGACUGAAACAAUCUUCGGGGCAAUGGUACUUAAAGUUUGAUGAAACCAUUACGAAAUUUGGUUUCAAAGAAAACAUUGUGGAUCCAUGUAUAUACCUCAAGAGUGGGAGUAAGUUCAUAUUUUUGGUUAUGUAUGUUGAUGACAUAUUAUUAGCCAGCAGUGAUCUUGGUUUAUUACAUGAGACUAAGAGUUAUCUCUCUGAGAAUUUUGAAAUGAAAGAUAUGGGUGACGCAUCCUAUGUGAUAGGAAUUGAGAUAUUCCGUGACAGAACACUAGGAAUUUUGGGAUUGUCUCAGAAAGCAUAUAUUGAUAAAGUUCUUGAGAGAUUCGGCAUGAUGACAUGUUCUUCUAGCAUGUUCCUAUGCAUAAAGGUGACACGCUUAAUCUUAAGCAAUGUCCGCAGAAUGAAAUGGAACGUAAUGAAAUGCAAAAAUACCCUUAUGCAUCUCUUGUGGGAAGUUUGAUGUAUGCACAGGUUUGUACCAGACCUGAUAUUAGCCACGCAGUUGGCAUGCUGGAUAGAUUUCAGAGUAACCCAGAACUCGCUCAUUGGCAGGCUGCAAAGAAAGUUUUGAGAUACUUAAAGGGAACAAGAAACUACAUGUUGACAUAUCGAAAAUCAACACAUCCACAGAUGGUUGGAUUUUCUGACUCAGAUUUUGGUGGAUGCAAAGACUCUAGACAUUGUACUCUUGGCUAUGUGUAUCUCCUUGGUGGAGGUGCCAUCUCAUGGAAAAGCCAGAAGUCAGAGUUGAUAUACACAUCCACUAUGGAAGAUGAGUAUGUUGCAUGUUAUGAGGCUUGUAUUGAAGGAACAUGGUUGCGGAAUUUUGUGUCAGAGUUUGGGGCUUUGAGUUUUGUUGACAAGCCUCUCACUCUUUACCGUGAUAAUCAAGCUGCAAUCUUCUUCGCUAAGCAUGAUAGGAUAUCUAAGGGAGCCAAGCAUAUGGACCUCAAAUAUCUAUCACUGAAGCAAGAUGUCAAAAGAGAAAAGUUUGUCAUUGAACAUAUAGGCACUGAACUUAUGGUUGCAGACAUAUUUACAAAAGCUUUAUCUCCAAAGACUUUCAUAAAGCAUGCUGAAAGUAUGGGUCUUGAGGAUAGCGUCUAAUAUUGUUUGUUUACGAUUAGCCUAUGUAUGACAAUUAUUUGAGCUCUUUUAUGACUUUUACAUCUUUUAUAUAUUCUGCUUCCAAUGUGCACACACAUUAUUGUUGGUUGGAUUUAUGAUAACAAAAUGAGUCUCUCGUUAAAGACAUUAAAGGGACCAUUACGAUACUCCUACUUAUGUUUAUGGUCUAACUAUGAAGGUGGUCAAUGCGGUAGUACAUGGAAGGGAUCAUGUUGCAGAAUGAUGUGCGACCGCCAUGACUCUCAUUGAUUACUAGAUUAGUCAAGACACUUAUGAUGACCAAAUGAAAAAAAAUAAAGUUAUAGCAUAUUAUGCCGGCCUUAUGAUUUCUUAAAGAAAACAUUAGUGGAUCUCAGUAACGACCAAGUGGGAGACUGUAAGGAAUAUUUCCUUUCCCUAUUAUAUGGUCUUAUAGUUAUCCGUUUUCUAUUGGAAUAUUGUUAUUCCUUAAUAUAUUUGGUGACCAAUGAAAUUGGAAAUAAAGAAGUAAUUCCUAAUUUAUAUCUAGCUUGAUGGACGGUUGAGAUUAAUCUAAAGAAAACCCUAAAGAGGAAUUAGGUCCUCUCUCCUCCUAUAAAUACAUUCUUUAGACCAUCAUAAAGAUAUCCUAAAAGCAACAACUAAUGUUAUAGGCGAGGCAGAGAAACCUAAGAGUCCCUAAGAAGAGAUUGAGCUGUUCAUCUUCCAUUAAGGAUUCAAUCCAUUCAGGAAGAUCUCUCAGGCAAAAUGAAUCCAGAUAACUCUAUAAACAUUCAUAUGAUUCUAUUAUGUGAUUAGCCUAGAUAUUUAAAGAUCUUAGGGUUCAUGUAAAUUUAACUUACAAACUGUCCUAUCACAGAGGAUCCAAACACCAUACCAUAUCUGGUGACACUACAAGAAAAUAGUCAUAUUGCAAUAGUGAUAUAUUGUUGCAAUAUGCUCAUAUAUUUUUGCAAAUAUGAAAUUGCAAUAAAAUUGUGACAAAUUUUAAUUUUUGUUGUUUGAAUGCUGCAAAUUCAUGUUUAUCACAUAUACGUAGCAAAAUUAGCAACAAAUUAAAUUGUUGCUAUAUAUGUCAUAUUAUUGCAACAAUAUUUUUAUAACAACCUUUUUAAUAUAUUUACAACGUAUUUGUGCAACACUAAGAAUAUGCACAAUGCAUGGUGGUAUUAAUCAACAGCCACCUUUUUACUUUUUUACAAUCCUCAACACCCUAUUAUAUUUUUUAUUUCACAUAAUCAUUGACAUUUAUUUAAUUUUUAUGUUAUAUAAUAUUUUUUUAUAAAAAUUAAACAUUCUACCAUUUUACUAAGAAAAAUAAACAUUUUCAGUUUUUAAUUUUUAAAGUUUUAUCAUGAAUUUUUAUUUAAUAAAUUUGUGUUUAUUUAUAUAAAUAAGAAUUUAUAAGUAAAUAAUAUCAAUAUUAUAAUAAAUUAUAUGUAUCCAAAUUAAAUAAACCAAGUCUCUAUUUAUAAAGCAUAAAAAUGAUGAAUUUUGAUAUAAAAACACUUUUAAAAAAUAUUUCCUACAAAAUAAGUCAAUUGAAACAAAUAGGUUGAAUAAAAAUCCAAAUUAUCAAAACAACCAUUUAAAAUUUAACAGUUAUUUAAUUUUUAUUUGUUUGAUUUAAAAAAUGGAAUCUCCUACAUUCACUUUCUUCCCGAGAACAUGCGGUACACCUAUGAAGUUUGAUUGAUUCAAAUAUUUCUUGUGGACCUCACAUGUAUAUUAUUCAACUAGUUAAAUAUAUUCAACUGAAAUUAAUCCGCUUCAUUUUUUACUUUAUUUCAAUACUUUCAUUAUAAACUUUCAACAAUUGAAAAUUUUAUUCAACUACUUCAAUGGAAAUGGUCUAAUAGUGGCAAAUCAUUGCUAUGUAAAAUAUACAGCAAACAACAUAGAAAAUGUGCAACAAAUUUUUAUUGCAAUUUUGUAUUAUUACUGCAACAAGACGUCAAACAAAUGGACGCAACUUAAAUUGUUACAAAAUUUGCUAUAUAAAAUAUCUAGUGAAUGUUGUUGCAAUUUUUUGUUGCAGAUUUUUUUAUAAUUACUUUUAUAUAAUAUUUUUGGUGCAAAUAUUUUGUGGGGAUGGUUAUUAUGUGGUUACCAAUUAAUAUUUUAAUAAAUUGUUAAUUUUGUCGCAUGAAUGAUUAUUGCAGUAUUUUGUUAUAAUAAUAUUAGAUGGAUAAUUUGUUUGCACAGUAAAUAUAUUUUGUAAUAACACAAAAACCAAAUAAGUGAAUAACCAACUUUAUUAAAUAAACAGAAAUAUUAAAAAGUUUAACAAUGCAUUAUUAGAUAAAAACCAACAAUAAUUUGAAAGCUAGAUAAACCUAAUAUAUAAGAACUUAGAAAAACCUAAUAAGAACUUAGAAAAAUAACUAAAACAGCCAACUGAAACUUACGGUUGACGCCCGUGGAUAGAAUAGCUGGACAAAAGAUUGCUAUCAUUUUCUCUAAUCCUUUAAGUUUGCUCAGCCUUUUUUUUAUAUUUGCACUUUUUUCAGAAAUGUCUUGCACCUUUUUUCGAAAGUCUCAUCAUUUUCUAAGCUGAUUUGAUUUCAAUGGUCACUGGCAAUUUACAAUUGAUUGAAACUUCACUAAAAAGAGAUCCUAGACCAAACACACGACCUUACGUGGAAUCCACCAACUGCAGAAUAUAAUUGUAUGUCAGACAAAAAAACUAUCUAUGGUGAAAACUAGGAAAACAAAAAGAUUUUUAAAGAUGUUACAUUACCUUCAAAUACAUUUCAUUCUUUUUCUCAAGAGUUAGCUCUUCGGUUGUUAGGAUAUCAUCUUCAAGCAUAUGAUCAGCUACAUUUUUUUUUCAAAUCCUUCACUAAUUAGCCUUGCCCUUUCAUCCAUAAAUGAUCCAUCUGAUUCUUGUGUCUCACGAAGCACAUCAAUGUAAGAUGCAUCUCUAUUCUUUUCGUGUUACAAAAUAGAAAUGUUAGAAAAUAAUAUUUAAAGUAGUACGAUGAAAACAAUAUAUCAUUGUUGAGCCAGCUCGGUGCUUAGAGGUCCCAGCACCAACCUCAGUGCUUAUGAGGUUUCAGCACCAAGCGGUAUGCCCACUUCCGUCUCUUUGAAGUAUGACAGAGCACAAUGCUUACGUGAAGAUGACAGUUGCUUCUUGACUCCAAUAUCUACAUUUACUUCUGCUGCUCCCUUUUUUCUUUUAAAAGGGGUCGUUUUUCAAGAGAUGGAAGUCAACGAUGAGUUCGCUGCGAUGGAUACAAAUUAUAUAUUGGUUCUAUAUUUCAUUUUAAAUCAACUUUUACAAUUUGUAUUUAGUGAAUAUACAUACAUUCUAGUGACUUUAACCAUUCUUCGAUUUUAUUAUAGAUAGGAAAUCAUUGGUCCAUCAUAAAGCCUAAAGAAUAAACAUCCAUUGCCGAAUCAAGAUUCAACAUAUAUUUAAGGAAAAUAAAUCAUUUGAAUACAAUCACAACCACAAAGCUCCAACAUCCUUAAGAAUUGGAACCAACUCACCGGAGAUAUGAGUGGCCAUAACCCUAUCUAGCCCUCCAAACAACCUCCCUCCUAUAUAAACCGCCGGUAAUUUCACCCUUUCUCUGCCGCCUUCAACGCCAAUCCUUUCUAGCUCACUCAUAACUUCCUCUUCCUUCUCCUGAUCAUCGAUCUCAAGAACCGCUGGGUUUACUCCGAGUCCAAGAAGCAGGCUCUUGACAACGUGGCACAUACAACAACCUCUCCGUCCAAUCACGAUCAGCGCGUUCUCCUCCACCAACGUACGAACAUUCUCGCCGGUUUUCUCAGUUUUAAGUGGCAGCGGUCGAGGAGAUUCAGCGGCAGGGAUCAUAUUAUAAUGCCUUGUACAAGAAAUCGUUCCUUGCAUUGUUCAAAAAUGAUUUAAAUAUGUUAAUGAGGAAGGGGAACGUUUUGUCAUAUAUAUAUUAUAUACGAAGGAGGGUGUAUGGAGGAAAUUUUAGCGUCAACGAUGGUUACGUGAGGAUGUGCGUCAUAGCAAACGCUGCAUGAUGCUGUUUUACGUAACCGAUAGGAGUGGACUUAGUCAUAGGACCGUGUCUUAUUACCGUGUCACAUGAUUCAUGCUGACUUUUUACAGCCCACUCUAUUAUUCUAAUAAAAAGCAGCACGUUUUUUUAAUUUUCUUUUGUUUCCUGUCUACGUGUUGGGUAUGAUAGAGAUUUUGUAUCAGUAAAUAAAUGGGAAAUUACUAUUUUCUUUAUAAUUGUUUUGUCCUUGUUAGACGGUUGUAUAUAUAUAAUAAGUUGAUUACUCGAAAUACUGGCAUGUGACCACGUAGUAGUGGAUGCUUACCGACCAAAUCACGUGACUAUUUAUAAAAUUUGGUAAUUUUUUGGUUUUAAUUUGGAAGUUUUAAAGUCAGGCUUAUUACCUUUCACAAAAAUAAUCAAACUCGUGUCCUUUAAGAUAGCCACAUUUUCCACUAUUACAACACCGUAUCGGUAAUCUAUCGCUAAAAUAGAGUAACUAGAGUAAAUUUUGUUCCAACGGUUUACUAUAUAAUAAAAUUACUCUAUUAUAAAGAACGAAAAAUAGAAAGAUUUCACUUUUUUAUUCUAUAAUAGAGUUAUUUUAUUUUAAUGAGAAUUAUAAAAAAAAAUAGGUUUGAGUGAGAGAUGUCCUAAUAGUAUUAUUGUGUAUACACAAUAAUAAUUACAUGAUUUUAGUAGAGUUUCUCAAAAAAAAACUAAAAUUUUCUUCGGUUUGGUUAUCUGUGUCGAUGUGAUUUAAAAAAUCUAAAAAUUUAUAACUUUACUAAGUAAAAACAAAUACUAAUGUGCAAAUUCAUAGUAAAUAAAGCAAAUCACAAAUAAUAAUAUUUUUAAGUAUUAUUCGUUAUGUGAAUAUAUACACAUUAAAAUUAUAUUAAUAUAAUAUUUUACGUAAGCUUUACAAUAUUUUUAUUUAUAUUAUUUUAGUUAUUAAAGUUUUAAAAGUAAAUAAAUUUUUAUUUUGUAAUAAAAUAUUAUUUUAUAAUAUUUUUAAUUUUAAUUUAUGUUUUAAUUUUUUGUAUGGCUCGAAUCAGAUCAAAAAAUUAAAAUCUAUGGUUAUAUUUUUUCCAGAUAUACAGACACCGAAUAUCUGAGUAAAUAAAGAUUGAAUUUGAUUGAAUAAUUGAUUAUUCGGGCGAAAUAGAUCGGAUCAAGAAAACUUCCAAAACUCGAAUAUUCGAUUCGUGUCAGAGAGUAGAGAAAUAUGUAGUUAAAAUGUUUUCACUUACGUUAUUUAUUUUGCCAUAUGAUUCUGAACUAAAAUGAAGUUUAAUAUUCCCUUUGAAUUUAAACAUUGAACUUGCAAAGUAAAAAAUACGUUAAGUCUAAGACUGAAACGAUCCGAAUUGUCGAAUUUCCAAACAAAAUUUGAGCACUUGGUAUUAUUUGGUAAGUGAAUUUUCAUGUUAAUAUAAUGUUCCUAUUUUUGUUCAAAAGGUAAUAUUAAUUGUAGUCAGAGCAUUCCACAUAGGUGAGGAGCCAUAUUAAUGCACAAGAGAAAAUGAAAAAUAAGAAAGAUCUCCAUAAAGAACAAUCUUCAAUCGAUGGACGGUGGAAAAAAGUCGGUAUAAGUUAGCACCAGAUAGCAUCACCAAACAACGAUGUGAUACUGGUCUAGUAACAAAUAAUUUUAAAAAUUUUAAAUAAUUUGAGCUAAUGAUAUCUUAGUACAUUUUAUCAUGUGAUCAAGUGGAUACAGUUCCAUUAUUACGAUCCAUUUAAAUAUUUAGAAAAAAACCAUUUGUAAAUUACACCUCUAUCUAGAAAUUAGUCUAGACUCUUCUAUUAGUUCGGGAUUUAACAAGUUAAACAAAAAAAGUUAACACCAAGGCAUCAACUUAGUGCAUUAUUGUUGUAAUGGUAUAUUGACGUCAUUUAUUCUUAAAACUCACCUCAUCAAUUUCUUCAUUAGGACUACUAUUUGGUGGUAUCAUUUCUUUAUGUAAAGUCACGCCACCGGUUUAACCUCUUAAAGGUUCUUUACGACCAGAAAAGCCUUUCCAAUUGCAUCGUUCCACCAAAUCCUAAGAUGGAAAUGUCCAUCACCUACCUACAACGUUUUUUCUUUAAUAAGAGUAUUGGGGACUGACAAAUACAUGUCCGCUAAUAAUUAUACAUAAAAAUAUUUGAGCAAAAUAAUAUAACUUUUUUUAAAAGAGUUCAACUAAAAGUGUGCUGAAAUGUUGAUAGUAAUUCAAAAUGUGUUCUUAACUAAAAUAUGGUAAAAUAAAGGGUAAAUCUUAGGAUAAAUUAUGUUUAAAUAAGGAUAAAAGAGAUUUUAAUUUAGCAAUUUUGAAGAACAAUUUUGGCAUUUGAUUGAGAAGCCAAACACAUUGUUCUCGAAAGUGUUCAAAGGUCAAUAUUUGAAGAAUGCAUCACCUCUGGAACCGAUCAAAUCAUGCUCACCAUCAUAUGGCUGACGUAGUAUCGUCUCUGGUAAAUCUCUAGUUAACAAAGGAAUAAUCAAAAAAGUGGAAGCAGAAUCAUCUAUCUCAGAAUGGAAUGAUUCUUGACUCCUAACCACUCAUUCGAAACCAGCAAAUAAAAAUUAACGCAACUUUUACCCGAAAUUUAAAGUGGAGUCUCUUAUCAAUACAACAUCACGAACACGGAAUACUCACGUAAUUCGGCCUUUAGUAGAUCCUCAUGAUGCGAAGAACAUUGAGAGUAUACCUUUGGACCGAUCCAAGUUAGCAGACGGUGAUGGUUGGCAUUAUACUAAUAACAGAAAAUACACUGUGAAAUCUGCAUAUCAAGUGGAACAAAUCUACCCAGACAUGGAAAUAAUGCCACCAGUGUUUAGUCCAACGGUUAAUGACUUAAAGGCCCAAUGCUGGAAAGUCUGAUAUCCACCAAAGAUAAAGCAUUUUCUCUAGCAACUCGUAUCUGGCGGUAUAGCGGUUAAGAAAAAUUUGCCAAUGAGAGGGAUCCAGAGUGAUAUACAAUGCGCCGGAUGUGUAGCAGCUGAGGAAACAAUAAACCAUGUAUUUUUUGAAUGCCCUCCGGUGGUACAAGUUAGUCUGGGCACUAUUAAAUAUUUCAUCGAAUUCAUAUAUUUUUCCUGCUACUGGCUCUUUACAAACAUGAAUCAUCUGUUUGGAGAGUUUCUCCAAAUUUGGAAGAUCAUCAUUAUGCUUGGGUCUUAUGGUAUAUUUGGAUAGUAGGAAACAAUAACGUCUUCAGUAAUAUGGAUAUAGAUCCUAGAGAUAUUCUCAAAUUGGCAAAGACAGAAUCAUCACUAUGGGCUGAAGCACACAUAUCACUUGCUCAGAGGGUCACUCAAUCAAGGGAAGUAGAUGAGCUGAUUUUACCUUCCAUAUCGGGACAAUGGGGUUCACGGAUGGAUCAUAGAAAGAGGAGGACAAUCAUUCAGGACAAGAUUGGUAUAACACGCUGGAAGGUUUGAUGGAUUAAUGAGGGCAAGGAACACAAGACACAAUCUUUCUCCCCUCUAUUCAGAAAUAGAGGUACUCAUUUGAGCAAUGGAAUGUAUGAAAAAUUUAAGGCAGUUUCAUGUAACGUUUGCAACAGAUUGUUCUCAAUUGGUGAAGAUGGUUUAAGAUCCAGAUGAAAUACCAGCUUUUACAAGUUAUCUAGAAGAUAUCAAGAUCCUCAAAAGUAGUUUCAACCACUACUACAAGAAAAACUGUGUUUAGCUACAAAUUAGCUACAAUUUUUGUUUUUGUGGCUGUCUUUUUGCCACAAUUAUCUACGGAACGGCCACGAUUUUACAAACCUAUAAUUUGUGGAUAUCUUGCGGAUUUUCGUAGCUAAAUAGCUACAAAUUUUAUCUUGUGGCUAUUCGAGGAAAAAUAGUCACGAUAAACCACAAAAUAGAUUGUAGAAAUAGGAAUCCACGAUUAGCCACGAAAACAGUUGUAGAAAUACAUAGCCACAAUGUAGUUUGUGGCUAUUAAAAGAAAAAAUAUUCCCUAAACUUACCCUAAACCCUAAAUUUUUAAUCUCCGAUCAUAAAAUCUAAAUCAUAAAUCACAAACUUUUCAAAUAAAAUAACUUAUAAUGUGUCAUAUAAAAUCAAUCACUUAUAAUAAAUUCCUCUCAAACUUUAAAUUCUAAACAAAUGAUCUCAAACUCUAAAUAUAUUCUAAACCCUAAACUUUUAAUCUUUAAUGAUAAACCUUAAAUCUUAAAUCAUAUUCAUAAAAUAAACAACAAAAUUUACUUUUUGUUUUUGUUGAGUAUGUUAUUGAAACACACGUAAUAAUUAAAUCACAUGUGUUUGUACAAUAUAUUAAACUACUAUAUAUAAUAUAGCUAAAAACUAAAAUCUAACUUUUAUAAAAAAAUAUAAAUUUAUAAAAAUGUUUAAAUAAUAAAUCCAAACUCUAAAUUUAACCCACACCAUAUCAUGAAUCUAAAAUCCUAAAUCAUAUUCUAAACUUAAACCUAAUGUUAUACUACUUUAAAUAAAAAAUUACAAAUAGUAUAAUUUCUAACUAGACCAUAAAUCCAACGACUAAACUUAAAAACUUGUAGUUACUGAAUUAAAUUAUAAAUAAUAAUUUUUGAUUAGAAAAGAUGAUUAUAAAAUAUAAACAAUAAACUAAAAUAUAGUGUUUAAUAUUGGUCCAUAUAUGUUUGAGAUCUGAAACGUAAAGAAAAAAAACACUAUGAAAAGAGGUCACAAUAAACGAAAAGGGUGGAAAACAUAUUGGGCCAUCCAAUUAAUAAAAAAGUAAAAAAUUGAGUUUAAUCUUCUAAUUUUUCAUUGGCUAAAAGAGUAAGACGUGGAUUGCAAUAAAAAAAUAUUGAAUUUAAUCUCUUCUAAUUUUUCAUUGGCUAAAAGAGAAAGACAUGGAUUGCAAUCUUAUACCAUUGAUCUAUAUUAAUCCAAUGGUCCAUAUGUUUUUCAUCCCUUCCAUUUAUUUUCUCUUCUCAUAUGUGUUUCUUCUUUUACGUCUCAGAUCUCAAUCAUUUUUUUUUCACCUUCUUCCUCUUAUGUAUCAUCUCUAUUCUCUUCCUCCAAUAUCCACUUUCAGAUUUCAAUCACACUCCAAUCCAUCUAGCCUCUCACUUCGAACCUACACCUAGGGAUCUGUAAACAACGCAGCAAGAAUAUCUGCUCGAAUCCAUCUCCUACACGGCUCUGCGGCUUCGAAAUCACCAUCUUGGUUUACUCAAGGGCUACGGUUUCAUCAGAAUCACUGUCUUCGUCAUUCUUCAACUCUGCACCUUCCGUUUUGUUGGACGUCAGUCUGCUCUGCGGCUCCACCAGCAUCUCCAGAUCUCCUUCUCUGCUCAAGCUCCAGAAAUUGCCUCUUCAGUUUCAUUCCAAGUCAUGUCGUCUCUGCCUCCGGUAAAGUCGUGUCUGCUCAACCUGUAGAAACGUCGCUCUUAGCUUCUUGCUUGUGAUGGCCAAAGCACCAGGAGCAAGACGACCCUUGACGGCGCAAGAGAGAAAACCGGUUUGGAAUUAGGGUUUUUUUCAUUAGAUUUUGGUUAUUAUUUUGAUUUAGUUGUUAAGGUUUAGGUUUUGUAAACCAGAUUUAUAAACUAGUUUAAUUUGUAAACCAAAUUGUAGUUUGGUAAUCAAAUUUAAUCUGAAAUGAAAUUCAAUUAUAAAUCAAUAUUUGAUUAUUUGUAAACCAAAUUAGUUUAUAAAACAAAAUUUUUAUUGCUAAAACAUUUUUUUCCUGUAAAAUAAUUAUUUUCCUGUAAAAUAAUUAUAUAUAUAUAUAUAUGUAUUUUUUAAUUCGUGAUUUAUAUUUUUUGAAAUAAAUAUGAAUUAGCCACAAUUUAUAAUGUGAUUUUUUGUGGCUAAAAUAACUACAAAUAUGGUUUGUAACUACAAAUAUGGUUUGUAGCUGUUUGUGGAUUUUAGCUACAAAUAUUGUUUGCGGCUAAGUUGUAGAGAGACAGCCACAAAUAACAACAUUAAAUAACAACAUUUUAUCGAUAGUCACAAGCCUAUAGUCAACGAAAAUUAUUUGUGGCUAUCUGUAGCAAUGGGUGAAAUACCUACAAAAAUAAGUUAAUAGCCACAAAAAAAAUUGUAGCUAUUUCAAGUUUUUCUUGUAGUG
RNAcentral lists this long non-coding RNA (48428 nucleotides) under Brassica napus (rape). Its description in RNAcentral is "long non-coding RNA (BNAP_LNC017555)". Lineage: Eukaryota; Viridiplantae; Streptophyta; Magnoliopsida; Brassicales; Brassicaceae. The record is from RNAcentral.